RNAcentral lists this long non-coding RNA (45362 nucleotides) under Brassica napus (rape). Its description in RNAcentral is "long non-coding RNA (BNAP_LNC006930)". Lineage: Eukaryota; Viridiplantae; Streptophyta; Magnoliopsida; Brassicales; Brassicaceae. The record is from RNAcentral.
UAAUUAUUUUAACUGCCUCUAACAGGCCACGAUUUCCACUCCCUACUUUAAAAUCAACUUUAGAUGAACAAAUAGAAUCACUUUGAUAACAAAUAUGCGCACAAAAUUAUUUCAAACAGAAACUCUCCCUUUUCUCUCUAUUUCUUCUUGAAGACAAAACCCUAGAUCUAGUUUUCUAGGUGGCCGACGGCCGUGUUUCGCCGUCGGCUCCACCUCCAGUUCCGUGUUCUCUUCUUCUUCUCGCUUCACUCCCUCUCUGCCUCUCUCAGCCGAUAUGCUUGUUGUUCUGUGGCUUGGCCUUUACCGCGGCUCUGGUGGUUCUAGUCCUUGGAAUCGCAGCGAGGUUAGGAGUUUUAGAGGGUUUGAGGUUUCUCGGUUGGGUGUGGGUGCGGAAGCUUAGGUUUGGGGUCCAGAUCUAGGUGUCGACAUGGAGUUUGUCUCUUUUUUACGCCCUUCAUCCUCCUUCUCGGCGAGGGUGCGCUCCUCUGGUGGGUCUGUUCCGGUGGGGAGCUAAGUGGUUACGGUCUGAGGGAGGGUUUCCUUGAUCUCGCCUCUUGUCUCUGUCCUGGUUCUUUUAGAUCUGUCAGUUAGAUAUCACGGUGGUUCGUCUGGUGAAGGCAUCGUUUCCGGCAGGGCAGAGCAGAUCCACUUCGGGUUCUCCGAUGUGGAGGCGUGUGAGACCAAGGAUCUGUGGCUUUGUCAUCCUGGGUCCUUGUUCUGUGGCGGCACGUUCGGUUCUAGCCAGCUUCAGGGGCUUGAUCUAGGGCCUGCUCUUGACUGCUCUUUGUGGAGUGGUGCUGGUUGUGUCCGUCUGUUCAGUUUCAGGUGCGGUGGUGUGGCGCUUCUCGGCGAGUCAUCUUCCUCAAUAAAGACUUGGCAUUGGCUUGCAGGUAUGCUUGACCUCGGGGUUUACUGUCUGAUUGUGUUGGCUGCAGCUUAGGAAGUCUUAUGCAAGCUGUUCUUGGUUGAACCAUAUCUUAAAGAGCGGAUCAUCGGCAAGCUAAUUUCUACCGGGUUCUGUCUCUCGAAUUAAUUGGGUUCCUCCUUUUGUGGCGAGUAGUUUGUUCUGAUUUUGACGAGUCGAUUGAUUAGCUGUUCUCUUUGUUGUCUUGGUUCCUGUAUUGACUAGGUUAGAGGUCUUCUGUUUAGUUGCAUUUCAAUUUUUCUGCUUCUUGUGUCUUCUGUACUUCUGUAAAAAACUUGAAAAUUGGUAAUAAUAUCUUAACAUUCUUACCAAAAAAAAAAAAAACUAUUUCAAACAGUUCUUCAAAAAGUGACUGAUGCUUUCAUCGUCCUUCCUAUAACUUGAUUUUUCUGAUCUUAACAAACGAUUAUGUAUAUUCUUGAGAUUAACCCAUCUCACCUAAGAAUAUUUGGAAUACACCACGACAGUGUAAGAAUAUAUAUAUAUAUAUAUAUAUAUCUAUUUUUUAACAGGUGUUAUUUAAAUAGCCUAUUUUAAAAAGAAAAUUUAAAUAGAUAAAUAUAUUAAACUAUAGUUUUUAUUUAAAUAUUAUCUUUCUCUUUAAGAAUUGCAGAGUUUGCGUUGUUCUAACAAAUGUGACAUAAUGUUCAAAAAAUAAUAAUACAAAUGUGACAUUACAAGUCUAAACCAAAAUAAAUAUUAAAAAAAACAACAACAAUAUACCAUACAUAAAAACAAUUUCUAAUAGAUCAUUAAAUUUUGGUCCCCGUUUUCAAAACGUAGAUUUUGUUUCCUAUUAAAAUAACAUAUAAAAGAGAAUUGUUUUUUUAUGAAAAUUUUAUAUAUGUUAUUAAAAUUUCAUUCGAAGUGUAGGAUAUAUAUUUUAUUAAAGUAGAAGUACUUUAAAUUUUUGUUUGGUAACAUAAAUAGCAGUUAAAAAAAUAAUGUUGUUUUGAAAUAUGAAUAGCAGUAAGUUAGGAAAAAAAGUAAUGGAUUUAUUCUAUUAUAAAAAUAAGAAGUCCAUUACAUUAUAUUAAAAAGUAAUGGGUUUAUGUUACUUUAUAUACAUAUUCAAAUCAAAAUAAUAAUUUAAAAUUAAUUUAUAUCAAAAAUUCAUUCAAAAAUAUACAUAUAUUCAAAAUUUGAUUUUUACUAACAUAUUUUCCAAUAACCAAUAUAAAAUUUUUUUCAGUUUAUAUAAGAAAAAUACAAUACAAAGCUCAAUUUCAAACACCAACUUAAAUUAUGAUUUUUAUAUUUCACAUUGAAAUUUAAAAAUAUAAUAUAUGUGAUUAUUUAUAUGAUUGUACGUAUAAAAUAUUAUUAAUUAUAAGAAACUUAUUUGAUCGUACGUAUAAAAUACGAUUAAUUAUAUGAUAACACAUAUUUUUGUAACCUAUGAUGAAACAUAUAGAAUAUAUAAUAGUGACAUAAAAACAAAUAGCAUCUUAUUUUUUUAAAAAAUACAUCCGUGCGGGCGUGCAGAUCAAAAUCUAGUAUCAUUUAAACUUCAAGUUUUGAGUUGUUCAAUGUUUUUGACAUGGUAAAAACAUUUCCUUUAUUUAAUUCAUAAAUUCUUCAUCUGAUAACUAUAACACCAGGGUAAGUUGUGAUUCUCUAUGCUUUUUGGAUUUCUGUUUAUGCAUGUAUACAUUAGAUAUUGAUGAUGUCUCCAAAUUAUAUUUUGCUUUGCACAGUCUUAGAAUUAUAUGGAAUAUGUAAACUUGGAGCAAUGAUAGUGACGAAUGAGCAAGUAAUGAGAUCUUCGAAAAUUAUGGAUUCAUGAUUUAAGAUAUUUCUCAGAUUCUCUGCGAUUAAAACAUAUCUGAAACUUAUUUAUUUUAUUUUAUUUUUAAAACAAUGUUGUUAGUAUCUAUCCAAUAUCUUAGUAAAAUAUAUCUGAAACUUUUUUCGUCAAAUAUAUAUAUCUGAAACUUUUUUAUUUUAUUUUAAAAAGCAAAAGAGUCAUGUAUCUUCUCUUUAAUCGUUCUUUUCUCCAUUUUUGUCAAGCAGCUUCUCUUUCCUCUCAUUCACAAGUCUGUAUAUCUUCACUCAUUUCUUUAGAUUAUCUCUAUAAAUUUAGAAAUGAAUUAUUUCAUGAUAUCAAACUUAGAUUUACUGUGUCUAACUAUGCUUGUUGUUUUGUUCUGAAAUUAGUUCUGCUUUUGUGUCAAGUUAUAGAAAUGGAGGCUCUGGUUUUCUUCAUUGUACAACUUAUUUCGGCAUUUGAAUUUGCCGUAAACAUAUGCAAUGAUAUCAGAAAAAACACAAAAAAUACAAGAACUCAUCAAAGGAUGAAUUGGACGGAGAAUUAGUGAAAAAAAAAGAUAAAUAUAAGAAAUCUUUUGUGAUUUAUCUACACGUUAAGUUCCUGGUUGUAUUUCGAUUUUCAAAACUCUAAACGGAAACAACUUAAAAACACAUAUUAAUUCAUGAGGUAACUAAAAACAGAAAUACUACUAAAUAGAAAAAUGAACUAAAGAAUAUUCCAUUGAAAAAAAAACUAUAAGCGUAGAUUUAUCUUUAACAUAAAUAUUAUUAUUUUAUUAUUUUUUGAACUUAUAUUUAAUUUAUCCAAGUAAUUAAUCUGCAGAAAAAAUGUCUUUUCACAUCUAAUAAAAAGUGUAGUUUUCGAAAAAUAAAAAAAAUGAGGUGUAUUUUUCAAAUUCCAAACUAUAAAUAAGGUAUUUUCAAUUAUCCUUUAAGAAAUGUUAAUCGAUGUUAUUUUCUAUAUUCAAUGGAGUUUGAUAUUAUUUUUAAAUUUUUUUUGAUGAAAUAUUAAAUUUAUUGAUCAAUUUGUAAAAGGGUUAUAUGUACAAAAAACUAUUCGUAUAGUGACUCUACUACUAAAGAAACUGCAAGACCCAAUUAUUUAUUAUUUAAGAAAAAAUUAAAACUGAUGCUAGAAUUAGUUCUUAAAUUCAGUGACAUUUUUUUUACAAUUUAAAUUAUUUGUAUUUUUAUAAUCGAUGAUAUUUCCAAUAUUCAUUGAGAUUUGUUACUUUUUACAAUAGAGUUACUAAAUGAGUAGAUGUCUUCCAGCACCAUGUGCAGUGAUAAAAUAUUUAAAUUAAAAAACAUUUUUAUAUAUUUUAUUAUUUUCUUUUAUUUUUUUUAAUUUAAAUUUUGAUUUAAUUAAAAAAAGAAGAUAAAAUAUACAGUUUUGUUCAUUUUAAAUUAUAUAUUAAAAUAAAUAUGUAUGUAUUUAAAACUAUAAUCUGAUAUAGAUUUUUUUCUAUUUCUUUUGGAUAAAAUAUAGGUAUGAAAUCAACUUGCAUAAAAUUAAUAAAAGAUUUGAUGUAAAAAGUUGUAUAAUUAUCAAAAAGUACAAUUAAACAAUAUUUCUAAAACUUUUAGAUAUAUAAAAGAAGCUGAAAACGUUUAUUUGUAAUAAAACUGUAUAAUUAUAUAAAAUAGAAAUAAAUAACAUUUCAAAAUUUGUAAAAUAUGCUUAUAUUUUUAUUAUUAUGUUAUUUAAUAUCAUAUUUGAAUAGAUUUACUUUAUAGAUUAUGUAUAAUUUACUAUUAUGUUCUAAAAUAUUUACCAAAAAUAUAAAUAAACAUUAAAUGGAGUUGUACAUGUAACAUUUAUCCAUAAGCCAUGUCAUGCCAUAUUAUUUAAUGAAAGUGAUUGUAGAAAGGACAUGUGUUAAUCUAUAUACAUCACUUGAGAAAUAAUGUUGAGGGGAUAAAAUACAUUCGGAUUUGUUAGUUCAUAUAUUCAAUGAUAUUUGCUAUCAUUUAUAUAGUUUGUGACACAAAUAAAAACUUUGUGUAUUAAAAGUUUUUUAAACCAUGCUAGGUUUUUUAGUUCCUAUAUUAAAUGAAACUAUGUGGUAAACCACGCCUUGCGCAGAGCUAUGGAUUAAAAAAUAUUAUAACUUUAAAACUAUAUAAAUUAAUUUAUUGGUGUACUUUAAGUAUAUUUAAAAAAUAAAUCCAUAAAAGUAAGAAAAGACUUAUAUAAAUUUAUUAUGAGUUUAAGAUAAAACAAAAUAUAAGCAACUAACUAAAAUUAACAAAAUAUAAAUGAUAAGAUCUGCGCCUUGGUGUAAUUUAAUUAUAUUUGAAGAGAAUAAAUAUGUAAGAGUAAACAAAGACUUAUAUAAAUUUAUUAUGAGUUUAAGAUAAAACAAAACAUAAACAACUAACUAAAAUUAACAAAAUAUAAACUUAAGCUUUUGUUACCAUAUUUUAAAAAUAAUAUCGAUUGGAUAUAUGGUUAGAAAACUAAGUAAACUUAACAAAAUAUAUAAUGCAUAUACGGUCACUUAAAACAUAACUUUGUGAACCCUAAGCUUAGUAUAGUUAGACCCUACACCUUAUAAUCAAAUCCCUAAACCCAUAUAGGUGAUGAUUGUUUUCCUAGUUUUUAGAUUCUAGUUUUUGGUUUUUGGAUUUUGGUUUUUGGAUUUUAGAUUUUAGUUUUUGACUUUUGGUUUUUGAUUUUGCAGUAGAUUUUGAUUUUUUGAAAAACAUGAAUGGUUGUUUUAGAUUUUGGUUUUUAGUUUUUAGUUUUAGUUUUUAUUUUUUAAAUUAAUAAAAUAAAAAUAUUAUGGAUAGUAAAAUAUUUAUUCUGAAAAUAAUAAAAUAUAAAACACUGUCAUUAAAAUACACAUAAAUUAUUUAAAAACUUAUUUAAAAAAUAUAUAAAUACAAAAUAAAACUAUCGUAAAUUCCAUAUAAACAUAUAUAUAUAUAUAUUUUUUUAAUUUUAUCUCAAAUGCCUUUUAUAUUUGACCUCAAAUGCUAUUAUACAAGUAAUUGAGCAUUAUAAAAAUAUUAAUAUCAUACAUUUGAUAUUUUUCUAAAAUAAUUUUUGCACAUAUUUCUAUGGUUAUUUUUGUUUAAUUAAUUAAAAUAUUGACUUUUAAAAUAAAAUUUCCUUUUGAAAUAUUUUUGAAAUUCUUUUAGUUUGCAAGUAAGAGAACUUCUUCUAAUCUACAAGUAUGAUCAAAUAUUUUUUGAGUGUUGAGAAGAAAAACUCGAAAGUUGUAUGUAUAAUCACUUACCCAUUUUAUAUUAAUAAAGCACAAAAAAUGUAUUGUGAUGUGAUGGUGAAAAACGGAUGAUAGUGGGAAUGGGGCAAAUAGAAAAGAAAGACCAGUUACAAAAUAAUAAAUAAACAAAGACUAAUUAAAAGAAAAUGAUAAAUAAUAAUUGCAUAAUAAAAAAAAUCUUCGUAGAAAACUGGAAAAAAACUAAAAAAACACAGAUUUUGGUUUUUGGGUAGAAUUAGGUAGUUAUUUGAAAAACUAGUUUCCCUAGUUUUUAGGGAAUCAUUUUUAACAAAAUCUUGAUUGGCAAAUAAAGUAGUUUUUCAGAAACAAAAACCAAAAACCAUUUUAAAAAUUACAAACAAUCAACCUCAUAAUCUAAACCCUAAACCCUAUAAAUAGAUUAACAUCAACAUACAAUCUAAAGUAUAAAAUACAUAAAGCAUUUCACACCAUGAAGUAUAUUAUACGAUAUGAUUAUUUUAUGGCAUAAAAAAGAAGAUAAUACGAAAUGUUAUACAGAUAUGAAGAAUUAUAAUAACAAUCGUUUUAUGUUAUACCGUAUUAAAUGAUAUGAUUGUUUUACUCUUAACAAUAUAGGGUAACUUGUUUUCUAAUAUUAAAACUGUAAUGGUAUACAAUAUAUUACUCCAUCGAUUUCAUUUUAAUUAUUGUUUCACACUUAUAAACAUAGAAUAAAAAAAUAUUUUUUUAUUUACUAAACAAAAACAUCAUUAUCAAUAAACAUAAUCACCUUUCAAUCUAUAGAAACUAGAAGGACAGUAGCCUAUUGGUUAAGGUUUAAAGGCUUCUACAUCCAGGUUUGGGAUUCAAAUCCCAGACUAUGCAAUUUAUUGUAGAUUACAGAAAAUCCAGGUUUCAAGUUCCGCAGAGAGCGGUUUAUUAAACAAUUAUACAGACUACAGAGAAAAGGCUUGCAAGGGAUCUUCAACAUGGUGCAAGUAAAUCUGGCCAGACGUGGAUCUUCAUAGGACGGCUCAGGUGAUGCAGUUAGGCAUAGGUCUUCAUAAGGCAGGUAAUAUUGUCGGUUGUCGAAUCGUCUAUGUAAUCUUUCCUAUAUCAUAAUUGUAAGAUCGUAAUAAAUCAGCGUCAAAAAAAAAAUCAAUAAAAACUAGAAAAUAAAACCAAUAAAUUUUGAUUUGAAAUUAUAAAACGAUAUUUAUUUUGAAAAAUAAAUUUUACUCUACCGCGAUAACUAAAAUGAAACGGAGAGAGUAUAUAUUAUUUUUAUAAAAUUUCAAGAAUCAGGGCUGUUUGUAAUAAUAUCUCAUUUUGAGAAAAGAAUUUGACGUCAAUAAGAGUUAAAGACCAAAGACGAAUAUUCUAUAACUAGCGACCAAAGAAAAGAAACAAAUCUAAAGAGCAUUAAAUUUUCUCUCCGACAAGACAUGCUUUCCAUCAUUUCUCUUUCAUCAAAAUCUUUCUUGUUCCCUUUUCUCUCUCUCUCUUCCAAAAAUCUCUCCUUUAUCCCCGCAAAGAACCAAAAAAAACAAAAAAAAACUCACACUCGACUAAUGUCGCCGGCAACAGAACUUCACGGCUCGUUCCUCAGCCGACUCAGCUUCCGCCGCAGCCAGAUCGUGUCCAUGGACGUCAACCACGAGCAACAGCUCCAAGAACUCGAGUAUUUCCAGAACCACGUCUCCGAGCGUUUCUCCGAGUUCAUCUCUCCAUCGCCGCCGUCUGAUCCAGUUCUCUCGAUCCCCUGGCUACGGAACCUCCUCCACGUUUUCAUCUCCUGCGAAACGGAGUUCAAGGAAGUCCUCCCGACCACUGCUCAGAUCUCGAAAACGCCUUCGCUGGAGAAGGCUUUGUCGGAAAUGCUCGAUCGGAUCUUAAAGUCGCUCGAUAUCUGUAACGCCGUCGUUAACGGCAUCGAAUCCGUUAAAAAAAGCCGGCGUCUUGCGGAGAUAGCCGUAACGGCGCUUAAACAACGGCCGUUAUGUAGCGGAAGCGUUCGCAGAGCCAAACGCGCGUUAGCAAGCCUCCUCGUUAGCUUAAACGCCGAUGUGAAAGAUAGGACCACCGGUGGGAGUAGUAGACGGAGGACAACGUCGCGGUCGUGGUCGUUUGGACAGCGCAGCAGCCACGUAAGCAAGAAUUGGUCUGCAGCGAAGCAGAUUCAGGCAAUGGUGGCUAAUCUUGUGCCACCACGUGGAGCAGAAGCGAUGCCGGUUUACAUAAUGAGCAGUGUUAUGGUUUUGGUGAUGUGGGUGCUUGUUGCUGCGGUUCCUUGCCAGACAAGCAGCGUUCCCGUGGCGCCGUUGCAGCUUCCUAAGCAUCAGAGCUGGGGUAGCAAUGCUGUGAAUGUUCAGGAGAGGGUUGGUGAAGAGGUGAAAGGGAAGGAGAAGCGUGGGGGUGGGUUGAUGGAGGAGAUGCAGAGGAUGGAGAGUGUUGGGUUGUCUUUGAUGGAGUUCACGGAGAGGUUUAGGUUUCCGGGAGAGGAAGAGGAAGAGGAAGAGGUUGAGGAGAAGGUUGAUGAGAUGGAUGAGAUUUGUCGGAGAAUGGAAGUGGGAUUGGAGGAUUUGCAGAGACAAGUGAGAGCAGUGUUCCAAAGAUUGGUGAGAAUCAGACUAGAGAUUGUUUCUGUGCUUGAUCUAAAUCUGUAAAUCUUAAAUAACAACAUUAAUAUUUUUAUCUCUUUUUUUUCUUUCUAGAUAAGACUAAUCUUUGAAAGAUCUUGCUGUGUAUAAGCUACAAUUCGUAUACAUAUACACCAUGUUUGGUUUCUGGUAUAUGAAAACUGCAAAAUUAUAUUGACCAGAGAUUAAUAGAUUCAUAGUGUCCUGACUUGUGAUUAAUAGCAAGUUGGGCCAGACUGAGAUAGCCCAGAAUGAAGAAGCAAAGGUGAAGCCCAUUACUUUAGCACCAACGGUAAAGUCGUCAACAUUCAACGUUCAAAGGAGCUCUCGAUGUACGACGGCUCCAGCUCACAUCAUCGGUACAUCCAACAGAUUUGAAUGCCUUACCUCAUGUGCUGUCACAUGCUGACAAACUAAGAGGAUAAGAUCUAUCUUGUAUAUAAAUAGGAAACGAUGAUGUAACGUUGGAUUAAGUUGAAUAACAAAAGUAAAGUUAAAGUUAUCUUCUUCAUUCAAGCUUCUCUCUCUGAUCUUUAUGGUAUCAGAGCAUGGAAGACAAUGAUCCGUUCACGUCUCCUUCUCUGAGUAUCACACACUGUGUUACUCUCAAACUCUCUUCCACAAACUACCUUUUGUGGAAAACUCAGUUUGAGUCUUUUCUGUCAAGUCAAUCUCUGUUAGGGUUCGUCAAUGGUGGCUCUGUUCGACCUUCGCCUACUGUCACUGUCCGUAACGGCGAUGAAGUCACGGAGCAGGCAAACCCGGAGUUUGGCAAGUGGGUUAAAAAGGAUCAACUUGUCAUGGCAUGGCUGUUUGGUUCACUGACUGAAGAAGCGCUUCGCUCUGUCUAUGGUCUUCACUCUGCUCAGGAGGUCUGGUUCAGCCUUGGAAAGAAGUACAAUCGGGUUUCAGCUACAAGGAAGCUGGAUCUCCAACGAAAACUGCAAGGUAUGGCUAAAGGCUCCAAGACUAUGUCUCAGUAUCUUAGUGAUGUGAAGAGUAUUUGCGAUCAGUUGGAUUCUAUAGGAUGUCCUUUGUCAGAACAAGAAGUCAUUUAUGGUGCUUUAGGAGGUUUGGGUAAAGAAUAUGAGUCUAUCUGCACUGUAAUUGAACAUUCGAUGGAUACGGCUGAGUUAAGCUUUGAGGAUGCAGUCUUUAAGCUUACCAACUUUGAUGACAAGCUGCAAGCGCAGAGCCAACCUACUGAGACAAGUCCUCAUAUGGCGUUUCAUGCUGGUCGUGGGUAUUCUAACCGUGGUCGUGGAAGUGGUACUUACAGAGGAGGAUACAGAGGAAGAGGUUCUCAGUCUUACUCUACUCGUGGUAGAGGUUUUCAGCAGCAGUUCACAGGUGGUUCGAACAACAACUCAAGACCAACAUGUCAAAUCUGUGGACGCUAUGGGCACUCUGCUGCUAGGUGUUACAAUCGUUUUGAUCAGGAGUAUGAAAGUCCGGAGAAUCUUCACAACGCCUUCACAACAAUCAGGUUGUCUGAUCAACAACAACAGUCAGGACAAGAGUGGUUUCCAGACUCUGCUGCCUCAGCUCACAUUACCAACAAUGAGUCUCAGCUCCAAUCUUCAGAGCCAUAUCUUGGUAAUGAUCAAGUCAUUGUAGGUAAUGGUGAUUAUCUACCUAUCACUCAUGUCGGUUCAGUUGCUAUUCACACGCCCCAAGGUACUCUACCUCUCAAAGAUGUGUUAGUCUGUCCUACUAUAACAAAGUCACUGCUCUCUGUUUCAAAGCUCACAAAAGAUUACCCAUGUGAGUUUACUUUUGAUUCUGACUCUGUGUGUGUAAAGGACAAGGAAACAAAGCGAGUGAUAGCAGCAGGAAGAAGGCAUAAGGAUCUCUACAUGUUGAAGGAUAAUCGGUUUAAGGCUUUCUACUCUUCAAGGCAGCAAGUCACAAGUGAUGGGGUUUGGCAUCAAAGGCUGGGUCAUCCUCACAAGGACAUUCUUCAACUUCUGGCCAAAAAUAAAUCUAUAGUUUUGAAUAAGAAAGACUGUCAGUUGUUUUGUGAUUCAUGUCAACUAGGGAAGAGUUGCAGACUUCCAUUUUUACCUUCUGAAACUGUUUCUACAAAACCUUUAGAGAGGCUUCACUGUGAUCUUUGGGGUCCAAGUCCUGUAGUUUCCUCUCAGGGAUUCAAGUAUUAUGUGAUUUUUGUUGACAAUUAUUCAAGGUUCACAUGGUUUUAUCCACUCAAGAUGAAGUCAGAUUUCUUUUCAGUGUUUCUUCGGUUUCAAACACUUGUUGAGAAUCAGUUUCAGGUGAAGAUUAAACAGUUUCAGUCUGAUGGAGGGGGAGAGUUCAUUAACAACAAAUUCCUUUCGCAUCUGUCCAGUUGUGGUAUUAAACAUCUCGUGUCUUGUCCGCAUACGCCACAGCAAAACGGUCUAUCAGAGAGGAAGCAUAGACAUAUCACUGAGCUUGGAUUAACAAUGUUGUAUCACAGUAAAGCACCUCAAAAGCUAUGGCUUGAGGCUUUCUUUACUGCAACGUUCGUUGGUAAUCUUCUUCCCUCGUCAGUUCUAGAAGAUAACAAGAGUCCCUAUGAACAGCUCCAUGGUCAGGUUCCAGUUUAUACUUCUCUAAGAGUAUUUGGGUGCAAGUGUUUUCCUUAUUUGAGACCUUACAUGAAGAAUAAACUUGAUCCCAAAUCUCUUCCCUGUGUGUUUUUGGGCUACAAUGAGAAAUACAAAGGGUAUAGAUGUUAUCAUCCUCCUACAGAUAAGGUCUAUAUAAGUCGUCAUGUUCUUUUCGAUGAGAGUUCUUUUCCGUUUGCUGAUCUCUACAGCAAGUGUCAUGAUCAACAAACAUCUCCUCUGAGAAGUGCUUGGUUAAAAACUGCAGUCACAGCAGCUAUCAAUGUGGAGGAGUCAGACGUUGUGUAUAACGAUGAAGAAGUUCCUCCUUUGAAGAAGAAGGUUUCUGCUCCGGUUCAGCUGCCUUCGCUGAAUGCAGAUGAAAGUCACACAACGGAGUCAAGUGAUUCAUCUUCAAGUGAUUCAUCUUCAAGUGCUAGUAAUGAUGAUCAAGAUCAAGUUCCACCUGUGAUUCAAGAACCUUUUCCUGCUCCACCGGUCCACACUAUGGUUACUAGAGCACGAGCAGGAAUUUUGAAGCCAAACCCUCGCUAUGCUUUAUUUACAGUAAAGACAGAUGCAGUUGAACCAAAGUCUCUGAAAGCUGCGCUGAAGGAUAAAAACUGGACUGCUGCGAUGGAUGUAGAAAUGAAGAAUAUGGAAGAGACAGAAACGUUUGAGUUGGUUCCACCAGAAGAAGGACAGAAUCCAUUGGGAUGUCGUUGGGUUCACAAGAUCAAACUAAACGCAGAUGGAACUGUCUUAAAGUACAGAUCAAGGCUUGUAGCAAAGGGAAAUGAGCAAGAAGAAGGAGUGGACUUCUUAGAAACAUUUAGCCCAGUUAUAAGAACAGCAACCAUCAGGACUGUGCUUCAUGUUGCGGUUACAAAGUCUUGGAAGAUUAAGCAACUGGAUGUUCAAAACGCAUUCCUACAUGGUGACUUGAAGGAGAAAGUCUUUAUGAUACAACCACCGGGUUAUGAAGAUCCAGCAAGGCCAGACUAUGUGUGUCGACUGAAGAAGGCAAUCUAUGGCCUUAAACAAGCUCCAAGAGCAUGGUUUGACAAGUUCAGUCUGUUUCUUCUGAAGUUUGGUUUUCAGUGUAGCUUCCCUGAUCCAUCAUUAUUCAUAUAUCAUCAAGGAACUGAUGUGAUAUACCUCCUGCUAUACGUUGAUGAUAUGAUCUUGACAGGGAACAACAACACACUGAUUGAUCGUUUGCUUGAACAGCUGAAUGGUGAAUUUCGUAUGAAAGGUGAUUGUUUCCAGAAGCUUUCCUAUGUUUCUUACCGGGGCGCUUUGGUUCUGUUCAGCUUCCAUUAGUGUCUGAAGCUGGUGUGUAUUGUUGAUGUGUGCUCUUCUGUCAGCUAUUUCUUUCAAUGUAUGCAACUCAAGAUCUUUAAGAAAAUUUACAAAGAGUGAGAUAGAAACCUCUAAAACUGUCUGGAGGAAACUCAUGUGCUUGUCUGGUGUGGAUGAUUGGACCGCACGGGUGCCACACUUCCUUAUCAAAAUCUCAACUAUGAUCGUUACCUAAAUGCACAUCUUUAAUAAGUCAAUCAUCACGUUUGAGGAAGGAGAAGGAAACUAAAGUUAAACACACACUAUCAUUGUCACCUUUGAUUUAAAGUAAAUGUCUUGAAACAGACGACCAGGGGAGAAAAAAAAACUUUCACAAAACCCAAAACAGCCUGGAGAUGCACGAAAAUGCAUGAGAAACUUAAGGAGAAAACCAAGCUUACAUACUUAGAGCAACAGCAGCCUGUGGACUUACUUUUAUAAUCUCAAUUGAUUUGGUGUGAAGCAAUGAUAAAACAGAGGAAAGAAGCUCUCAGGUGACGAUAAUAAGCAUAUCUCAGUCUCUUUGUAUAUCAAGACAGAUACCGCAGUCAUAUGAGAGAUAACGAGAGUGGACUAAACUGAUACCAGGGAGCUCCUCUCAUGCACUUUCCAUGUUAACCAGUACGCAUCACAAGGCCACAAGCUGCUUUACUAUGUUCUUCUUUUCCCUGUAUAUACAAAGCCAAGAUAAUGCUAAACAAAUGUCAAAACUUGUCUAGUAAUUCUAUUGUUUAAUUCAAACAGUAUGCUUACUUACAUCUCAAAGUGUAAGGAUCAUUUCGUUCAGGAUAAGGAAAGCCUUCUCAUUCUCCUCCUAGGAGCUUGACUGUAGGAAAAAUGUAAUAUAUUAAGAAUAUUAGUCAAUGUUUUCAUAAAGCAACACUGAACUAUACAUCUUUAUAUAAGAAAACAGCAUGGACAUACUAUAGUUCAAGUUUGAUGAAUAGUCUUUCAUUAACAACAAACGCCAUAUACAUAUAUGGCAGAGAGAGAUGGAAUUGUAGCAGUAUACGAUCGGAGAGAACCAAAUAUUUUCUCCAGAUACUCUUGAGCACCAAAUCUUUUAACCUAAACUCACAAACCAAGAUUGCUUUGUCACCACAAUAUGAUAUAUUUUUUUUGGUAAAAAUUGAAGCCUGGCUUGUCCAAAAUGAGUUCAUAGAAACUGCAACUGCAACUAGAGAAAGCUCAACAUCUUAUAAAAGCGUUGACGUCAAAGCUUAGAAUCAUGAAGAAAAAUAUUAGAAGCUUGAUAGUUUUCUUCUUCCUUUAGAACUCUGUUUUCUCUGUUGAUUCUCUGACAUGUCUUCCUCAUUUCUGCUCUAUAGUGUUUCUACAUGUAUCUAUUGGCGAGUGAGAGUAGAUUUGGCGUUUUAUGAACGUGAAAUCAAAUGCUCCGUGUUACUGUUCAUUAUCACUUUUAAUCAUGAGUUUCCCUGUAUUAUUCUCCAUCUUCGAACGCAGUUUCGUCGUUAUCAUCUGCUCGUUCUUGCUGUCCUGUUUCAAAGGCCGCCAUACCCAAACCCACUUUGAUUGAUCCUGGUUUCUUCCCCCGGUGGCCAGCGCUUGUAGCUUAUGCCCAUGGAGACCUCUUUUCUUCUCCUUUCCGUUGAUGUAUUAGUUCGCGGAGUACUAUACAUGAGGUACUACGUAACGUGUUGCAUGAAGCUGGAGCCAUAUUGAAGUUCAUGUAUUGAUUUCUUGAACUUAGAAAAGGAAAAGGAAUAAUGUGUGAAAACAAAUAGGCGUUUUCCAUUAAGCAAAAGAGAAUUUGUUUGAAGAAAAAAAUUGUCAUUUUUUUGUUUGCAUAAAAGAAAAUAAACAUUAACAAAGAGAUUUGGAGAUCUUUACUUGGAAAAGAAAGCUAUAGAAUAUACCUAGUAUGGAAGCUCCCUUAGUCUAGUGGUUUAACUAAAUGUUCAUCAAUGCUUCUACAUUAGGAGGUCUGGGGUUCAAAAACCCGAGUAACGCAAAUUAUAGAGAAAUAUGGUUACAAGAGGUCUUCAGCAUGGUGCAUGGCGUAUCAUCGAACAUGGAUCUCAUAGAGCAGCUCGGAGUAAUGCAGUCAGACGUGCAGUCUCAUAUAUGAUAGAAUUAUCGACUGUAAAAUCAUCUAUGUAAUAUUUCUCAUCAUUGUAAUGACAUAAUUAAUCAUACGUUAAAAAUAAAAAGAAUCUACCUAGUAUAACUAGGUUGGAGAGUUUUCCAAGAGAUUAACACAGAGAAAAGUAUUCUUAGCAAAAAGGGUUUCAUUACUUGUAUGGUGAGUGAAAUAUAAAAGGCUAAGAAGAAAGAGUUUCUUAGGAUCAUGUGUUAGAUCAUAGAAAUGUGUGAGUCUAGUGUUUCCUGAUUAAUUAAGACUUGUAAGUUUACUUGGAAGAGAUCUAGUAAUGACGUAUGUCUUUGUUGAGAAAUUCUCUUCUGUUUUUGUGUUCAUUUACUGUAGUAUUUCUUGAGACAGUACUCGUACUACUCUAUGACGUAGUUUCUAUAUUCUAGCCAUGAUAUUGCAAAGGUUAUUUUUCCUAAUUAUAAUUUUAUGUAACUAUUCUAUUACUCAUAAUUCCCUUUAUUUAAAAUACACUUAUACUAAGUUUUUUAAUUAUAAGAAAUGGUUAGUGCCCUAUACUAAAAAACUAUCUUGGAUCCCCCCUUGGUUGUCAGGGCCAGCUCAAAGACAUGGACCAGCAGUGCACCCGUUCAGAGCCCACGUACAAAAAGGCCAGUACCAACGUACAAUAGGACCCAUAUAUUCAACCUGUUGAAUACUUAGAAGGCCUAUUCUAAAAUGUUCCAACCGUGUUCUUCUUUAAAUUUUUACUAGACUUUGAUCCGCGCUUUCAAAGCGCGGAUUUAUUAUUAUUUUUUUUCAAUUAAUUAUUUAGUAAAUAUCAUAUUUUCAUAUAUUUGUAUUUUAUUUUAUAAAAGACUUAAACUUUUUAUCUUUAUUUAUCGUAUUUCAUUUUAAAUGACUAUUUAUGUUUAAAAAAUUAAAAUUUAUUUCUUUAAUGAAUUAAGUUUGUAUAACUCUGAUAAAUUAAUUUUAUUAUGUAGUUAAUAUUUUAAUAAAAAAAUAUAUACUUUUAAUAAAGAUUUAUACUUUUCAAUGAAAAAAAUCAAUUUUUUUUUAUGAAUGCUUAAAUUAUAUUAAGAAAAGAAAAAAAAUAAUAAUUAAGAAUAGUUGAAAAAAAAUUAUUUGAACUUGGACUCAAUGGCCCAAAGGAAAAAAAAAGUGAGAAUUGAAUCUGAUUUUUUAAUAGGCCCAAAUGGCCCAAGAGAGAUUUGAUUUGGGCUGGAUCGAAAAAUAAUGACCCAAUAUAGAUUUGUCAUUAAUAUUACUUAAUUGCCCUUAAUGAAACAUGCAAUGUUAGUGAAAGAAACAUGCCCCUAAGGUAAUUAUGACAAUAGGAUCCUGCUUUAAUAGUAUAGAUAUAAUUGUUUGGCAGCACUGUAAAAAAAAAAGCAUCAAAUUUAUGUUAAAAAUAUUGGGCGGAGCGGACCAUUGCGGUAGUAUAUCAUUUUUAUAGUUUUCUUGUUGAUUUGGGUUUUAUACAUGUAUAAAAUAAAUAAUGAAAACUGAGUGGUUUAAUUUGGACCAACUUAUUUUAAAUCAAGAUUUAUUUGUAUGCUUAUUUAUCUUUAGAAAUUUAUCCAUUACCAUUGCCUGCAUUAUUGUGGAACUGUUUAGUUUAUGAUUUAUUGUAUACGUCAAUCCCUUCGUGGUAAUCGGUAUUCUAGAACGGCUCUUUAGAAGUGUUAAAAAGAGAUUGAAGCUUUUGUUCAGGGUUUAGGGAACACGAUUUAAUAAACCGCUGGGUACACUAACCGGGAACUCAUCCGGUUUAUUUAGUCAUGUCUGAUUCUCACAUUACACUGAUUUGAUUAUGGUUUAGGUUCAAAGUUAAAUUUGUUAUGCGUUUAAUUUUUUUUUUAGGUUUUGAAUUAUACACACAACUUUAUUUUUUGUACACUUUAUUUUUUGUACAUAAACCAAAUAGCAACGCUAAAUAAUCUUUAUGUAAGGUUUAUAAAAAAAAAACAUAUAUGCUAUAGUUGAUUUUUUUUUAUUUUGAUGAUUAACAUAAAUCAACUAAUUACAGUUGUGUACAAAAGUUAAAUAUCAAUCUAUAAUAUUUUUAUAGAAACCAUUUAAAUGAAUAUAUGCACUAUAUAUGUAUUAAAUUAUAUAAUAUUUUCGUAAACACUUAUAUAUAUUUAGUUGACAUAUUCAUAAAUUUAAUAUAAUUUCUGUAAAAAGUAUUUAGACACAUUAUUUUGUGUGCUAUAUACUUUCAUAUUUAAUAAUUCAUAUUUUAACUGCAUAUGAUUAUAAAUGGUAAUGGUUAUUCAUAAUUCCUUAAUAUCAAUAAAAUAUCAAACAUAUUUUUUUUGUUCUUACAUAUACAUGUAUGCAUUUAUAUAUUUUAAAAAUUUAAAUGAAAAUUUUGCUGAUACAAUAACAAAUAUAAAAAUUGACAAUAUUAGUUUUAUAUUUGAACUAAAUGGUAAGAAAGAACCGAAAAUCGAAUGAAGAUACAAAAAAUAAGCGCAAAACAGGAAUACUCUUAUAAUUUUUGUAGCUGUCACAAAUUUUCAUAAAAUUUAAAUUACAUUAUAUUUAUUAAAGUGAUGAUAUUCAUUUUUAUUUUUGUAAACAUGAUAUUUAUUACUUAUUUAUAAUAAGUUUUAUUUUUUAGAUAUUUAGUUUUCAUUAAAAAAAUUCAACAUUUAUUUAAAUAUAAUAAUUUAUUAAAUUAGUUUGAUCUGCAUUUGUUGUGUUUGAUCUUCAUUUUUGUUUGAUCUGCGUCACCCAUUAUAUGGAAAAUCCAUUUGGCGUCAACUUUUCAAAUGUCUUCUACUUUGGAUUGUUCAUGUAUAAAUUAUGAAUCUUGUGUUUUGAACUUUUGAAGAUAUUAUAUUGUAUAUAGAAAGGAAUCUAGUUCUAGUUAUACAAUAUAAUUUUAAAAGACGUUGAUUCCUAAAUAAAGGAAGAAAUAUAUACUUGAUGUUCAAGUAGCCUUUUAAGAGAAAUCACAAAAAUUAUACUAUAAGUGUUUCUCAUGAAUUUUAUUUUAAUUUUACCAAGAAAUAUAUACUUGAUAUCUCAUGACAAUACUUAUACCUGUAAUUUCAUUUUUGUUAAUAGUAUUUUAGGUAUAGAGAUUUUGUAGUCUUUCCACAUCUUUUUAAAUCUGCAUGAAUCAAUCAUUAUUUAUUAGCCAUGUAAUAUAAUUUCUUCUAGCAUGCAAAUGCUACAAAAAUAAAUAGAGAUUUUGGAAGACCAGCAUAAGAGACAGAAAAUUUGUAGUAAAAAUUAUAUGCGUACGCUGUUAACAUAAAUAACUAAGAAAUUCAUUAUUUUUUUGGUAAUAAGAUAUUAAAUUAAGAAGCAAGUGCAGAUGAAUGAUAAGUAGAAGUAUAGGACACAUGGAUCUGUCAAUUAAUCCAUUCCAAUAGACUCAACAUCACAGAAACCUAAAAGUCAUACAAAACCCCAAUUGAAUAUGCUGCAACGUGCAAAGUUUACAGAAGUCGGAAUGUUAAAUAGUUGAGAAAGAGCACUAAAGAUUAUUCAAAUAAAAUUGAACAUAAAACCAACCCAAUGUCUGGAAAGUAGAUGACUAAUAUAAAUUGGUCAGACCAAAGUACCUCAGACAGCCGCACCUGCUUCUGAAAAUUUCCACUCACCAUACAAAGCACCUUCUCGUUCUUUUACACUGCACAAAUAGUAAAGAAGGUUUUAAGAAUGAUCAAUUUUCUGGUCUGGUGUCUCUUGUUCAUUAGCACAUUUACAAUUAAACAUUUGUGUACAGGAUGAAAAACGUAUAAUCUUGAGAGAAAACAUUGCAUGUGAGCAAAUGAGGCCUGAUAGAUAAAAACCAUAGUAGAAUUAGAGAACAGAGUGAGAUCUAAAGAGAUUAAUAGAGAGUAAAAUAAGAUAAAGAAUCAUAUGAAUUAACAAUUUUUUUCGGAGAAGAAGUCUUGCAUGUCCACAUCGAGUUUGUGGAUUACUGGAUUAGAGAAGGAAAAAAAUGUGUUUUUUAAGAAAUCUGCAGUAAUAGAAUAUCAUUGCACAAGUAUAAAUGAUAUAGUGGAAGUAGUUAUUCGGAAAUUGCUAGUUCAUGGAGGUGUGAAAAGAAGAACCGUCCUCGAGGUGGAUUGAGAGAAUAUUUUUGAUUUUCUAGUAAAAACUUAAAAUUAAAACGUAAGUGGGAACAUUUAGUCUUUUGUAUGUUUAUUCUUUCCUUUUUAAAAAUUUUUAUUUUUAAAUUAUGUGGUAAAAUUCUAGAAUAUGAUUGGUUGAGUGACUUUUGCUUUCAUAUUUUUCUAACGCUUUGUUUUGUUAAAACUGAUUUAGAACACAUUACAUCAUUGGAGAGUAAGAUUUAACGAUAACGAGAAACUAAUGGUCUUUCUACACUAGAAACUAAUGAAGACAAACAACAUUGAUGACAUUUUAGUAAUACAAACUGAUCUUGUUUCAAAAAAAGAUAUAUUAGGUGUUUCCGUUCCAAUAAUAGCAGACGAACUUCUAUUACCUUCAACUGAAACAUGACAAUAUCUCAUCAUCUAAAUAAAUCUUCUUCUUCGGUUGUCUUUCUCAAUUCUGUCUCAAGUUAGCUUUAGUUAAGAUACUGUUGAACAAAACUGAAAUACAAAAUAUAAAUCAGAUAGAUAGUUGGGAUUGAUGGUUCAUAUCCAAUAUAACCACCCAAAAUCCCAUAAGAAUAUGGAAGUAAACCAAUCCUAAAGCAAAACUUGAUCCACCUCCUUGCAUAGAAAAAAAUUGAAAGACAAAACCACUUCAGCACCAAUAACUCACUCAAUCGAAGACCAAACACACUCAAAGAAAAAAAGAAGCUGCAUGAUAACUCAUCAGAAAGACGAACCCAAAACGGAUCUUUAAGCCAGUGCAAAUGAACUUGUUAUCAGCAAAUCACUUAUAGAGAGUUAAUAUUAGACAAAUCGAGAGCAAAAAAACUAAUCUCCUUUCGUCAUUAUACAAUCGAUGUUGCCUAUUUGUAUACAUAUAAAGUCUUAAAAAUUUUUAAAAUGAGAUGUAAUACGUUAACUCUUUAACAACGAUGAUAUAUUUAAUAGACCAAUAUUUUUAUUAAUCAUUUUAUAAUCGAUAAAGAUUGUAGUAUUACAAAAUGUUAAAAUCAUUUCAUAAACAAACAUUAUUAUAAUAACUCAGCCCGCGCACGCGCGAAGAUUAUCAUCUAGUAUACAGAGGAUUUAGUAAUGACAAUAAAUGAAAAUUUUCAUUAAUAAGGAAAAUGCCCUUUUCCGUCAUUUACCAAAUACUAGUACUUACUUUUAUUUUAUGCUUAAACGCCGCAGUUAAAAAAGAAUGGACACAUGCAUGCUAUGUUUUAUUUAGGGGCACAACCUAUGUAUAUUUUUUUUUCUUCCAAUUUUAGGGGCACAACCUAUAUAUUUAGAUAAUGGAAAAAAGUUGAGUUUUUUAUUUGAAAAAGAGGAAAUGCUUGCUAACUUGAGAUGAUGGACCAGAUUCUAAAGGCUUAUUGUGAUUGCUGUCUAUGUAUAAUUUAUUAAUAAUACCAAUUGUUCCACAUAUAAACUUUCAGUAAAUAAAUUUGAUAACUAAAAUUUCAGUAAUCUUACUUUUAUAUAUACAAGUAACAAAAAAAAAACAACAUUUAAAUCUCUCUAUAAUAUUAUUUGAGAAGUCAGUUUCUUAUGUGUCGCGCUCACGUUAACUCUCACGAUGGUUUAUUACACUUACACCCUUAAUGAAUAAAAAAUAUUAUUAGUGAAUUCUAUUUUUUAUUAUUAGUGAUUUCCAUUAAUAACAAUUAUUUAUGUUUCUUUUUUCUUAAUAUAACUGUGAUUAACUUUUUACUGUAAUUUUCCUUUUUAUUAAAACAUAAAUAAUAAAAAGAAAAAAUAUAAAACAUAAACAUAGACAUUUAUAUAAAACGAAUUUAGUUUUUUUUAUUCUUUAUGUUUCCUACAACAAAAAUAAAAAAAAAAUCAAUAACUGUUAAAAAUUUAUACUUAUAAAUAUAUAUAAAAAAACUUCACAAAACUGAAAAAUAUAUUAAAUUCAGAUAUAUUUUUCUAAAAGAGAAUAAUAUUUUUAUUAUAAAUAUCUUUUGAUUUAAUAAUUAAUAAGAAAAUAAUUUGGAACAACAUAAAUGGUUAUUUAGUAGAAGUCAGUUUCUUAUGUGUCGCGCUCGAGUUAACUCUCAUGGUGGUUUAUUACACUUACACCAUUAAUGAAUUAAAAAUAUUAUUAGUGAUUUCCAUUUUUUUAUUAUUAGUGAUUUCCAUUAAUAACAAUUAUCUAUGUUUCAUUUUUCUUAAUAAAACUGUGAUUAACUUUUAAUGCAAUUUUCUUUUUUAUUAAAACACAUAAAUAAUAAAAAUAAAAAUUUAUAAAAUAUAUAUAAAAACGAAUUUAGUUUUUUAUUCUUUAUGUUUCCUACCACAAAAAUAAAAAAUUCAAUAACUUUUAAAUCUUUAUACAUAUAAAUAUAUAUAAAAAUAACUUCACAAAAACUUAAAAAUAUAAUAAUUCAGAUAUAUUUUUAUAAAAUAUAAUAAUAUUUUUAUUAUAAAUAUUUUGAUCUAAUAAUUAAUAAAAAAGAUUUGGGCUGGAUCGAAAAAUAUGAUCCAUCGGUUCUUCCAUCAAUGGUGCUAAUCUCUGCAUUUUUCUCUUUUGUUUUUUUUGUUCUUUUUUGGUACUUCUUUCCUCUCUCUUUGUGCUCAAGCAGCUUAUAGACUUAGUGCGUCUUGUUCACCUUUCUUUUUCAUUGUUUGUUAAUUAUUGUUAUUUCUUUCUCUCUCUUUAUAGAAAAGUUAUAUUGGCAUAAGUCGUCACCACCUUUCUUUCUCUCUAACCUCUUUUGAGUUUUACUUUGAACUAGGUCCUUGUCCGCGCUACGCGCGGAUAGUAUUUUGAUAUUUUUUCAUAUUUUUGUACUAUUAUGUUAAUUGUUUAGUUUUAUAAAAUGUUAUGUUUUUACUGUAAAUUUAGAAUUAAAAAUCUAAUUUUUCCUUACUGUAAAGUAAGUUAAUUUUUUUGAAUCUUACUACAACACAUUAUACACGAAGAAAAUAUAGUUGGUUUUUAUAUUCUUAUUUGGUGUAAUAUUAAAAAUUUUGAUGUUUGUUUAAAUGAUUUUUUUAAAUUAUAUAUUUUAGGAUUGAUUUUCGUGACUAUAUUUUAUAAUUGGCUAAAAAAAAUUGUUUGUCCCAUAUAGACAUCUACAUAAAUGUGGAUUUCUGAUAAAUUUGUUCAUUGAGAUAUUUAGUUUCACUUUUAACUUUAUUCUCUUUUUUGGCACCCUCAUGCUAGCUUGUGGGGCUAGCCAACUUGGUGCAAAAGGGUUUACAAAAGCUGAUCGAGAUGCGCGUGAUCGGACACCUUUUGUUAGGCUAUUCGUACGAAAUUUUAAAGAUCUAGGAAUAUAAGCAAUAGAAAGUUCAGAAAAUUCUUUGGAUACAGCCUGUAUUUCGUCGAGCUCCGAGUCCAAUGCAGGUUAAUUUUCCUCCUUUUGAAUGAGUAUAACCAGUUGUUCACAGUCGAUUGAAAGACCAUCUCUCUGUGUCCAAACUUCAGUAUCACUUGCAUUACCCAUAGCAAACCUUCAGCUUCCGCCUGCAGUGGUGAUUUGGUGCGUGUAUAUCUGCCUUUGCUCCAAACAUCAUUAGAAAGUCACCAUCCAUUAACACAAAGCCAAGUCCAGAUAUGUCUCUUUCAUUUAUCCAGGAUGUCUAGCAGGAGCGUUUUUUUCCAGAGGAACAGUUGUGUCUGUUACCUCAACUCCCAUAUCAAUCUCCAUAAACUCGUCUAUACGUUGAGCUAUCCUCCAACACUCUGCUUCAAUUUUAUUCGCUAAUGGGAAAGACAUAAUUCCUAUGACACUAUUAAUGAUUGUUUUUUUUUGUAACACCGGUACGGCAAACUUAUGUUUUAUUUAACAAAACUUUUAUUUUAAUUUCGUAUUAAAGAAUCAAUCAUAUUUUAUAUUAUCCAUAAUUUUAGUAAAUUUGCUUAUUUGUCAUGUUUUUUUUAGGUUUUAGCUAAAUCAUUGAUUUAUUAUUUAUUUUUAGCUAACUCACUAAUUUAUUAAUUUAAAAAAUAUCCUUAAUUAAUAUUAUAUAUAUUAAAAAUGAAUUUUAUUUUAGUAAUAUUAAAUUUCUAUUUUAUAUUAAAAUUUAGUUAGUUUUUCUUAUUUGUCAUAUUUUAUUAGGUUUUAGACUUUUUGAUAGGUUAUUGAUUUAUUAUUAAUUUCUAACUGAUUCGCUAAUGUGUUAAUUAAAACAAUACCCUUAAUGAAUUAUAUAUAUAAUUAAAAAUAAAUUUUAUUUUAAUCAUAUGAAGUUUAUAUGUUAUAUUAAUAUUAAAUAUUUGAUUCUAAAAUAAUAUAAUAAAAUUAUAGAAAAAUUUAAAAAAUAAGACAAUUUUAUAUAUUUUUUGUUGCUAUCUGAAAACAAUAUUUUUAUUAUAAAAGUUAAAAAAAUACAAAAAAUUAUAAUUAAAUAUUAUUCAAGAAAAAAAAUUUAUAUAAAUAUAUUUUCUAAACUAUUUCUAAGAUUUGAGUGUUUUAAAAAAUUUAACACGGGAUGUUUAAAACACGGGAUUAUGCUUGUGAGAGAGUGGCUGGGAAUGGGCUUCGAGAUGGGUCGAAUGGACUUUAAAAAUAACUUUUUUUUUAACUCAAACCCAAUCCGGAUGACAUGGCAUCUUGAUUGGUUCAUAAUAUUUUACCUAUGUGGCAUGGCUUAGAAAUGAGGGAUUUAGUCCCUUUUAUAUAGUAGGAUGAAUCUAAUAUUGAUGAUGUAAUAUACAUAAAUAUGUAUUAUACGUGUGUAUGUAGAGUAUUAUACAUUAAAAAUACAAAAAUUCCUUCCCGAGUACUCCCCGAUUUUUCUCCGCGUUUUCAAUAAAUCGCUAGGCCCGUAUGCGCCGCACGCGUAGCGCCUAGCGAGUUUCCGAACAAGGGUUAUCAGUAAUCUGUAAGCGAGCAUUUAUUUUGAUUCUUUAUUUAUAAAAAAAACAGUACCUCUUAUAUAUUAAUUGAGUAACAUUGCAACAUUGUUUUGUAAUCAUGUGUCACCGUGAAAAUAAAAUUCAAAAUUCAUAGAAAAAUAGGUUGGCUCAUCUUAACUUAUAUUAUAUUUUUUAUUAAACUAACUAUUAAAUUGAUAAAUAGUAUACAAUAGAAUAUUCUCGCAUUUUCAUUAAACAAAAGCUACGGAAUUGUCUAAUAUGAUUAACAUAUAUAUAUGACAAUUAACGAUUAUGAAUAAUAAUUAUUUGAUAACAAUUUUUGUAUCUUAGCUCUUUUUGUUUAUUUUAUAUUAUCGAAAAGUCGCACAUUAGAAAUUUUGUGUUUAUCAUAUGAAUAUGAAUUCUCAAUAAUAAAUAUCUAUAUUAAAAUAUGCUAUAUAUAUGUCUAUGUCAUUGAAAUUUAGUUAUAUAUUGUACCAUAUAAAAUAAAUAAAAUAUUUUUUUUGAUUAGUUUACCAAAAAAAUAUCGUAAAUAAACAAGAUGUAUUGUUUUAAUUUAUAUGAUUAUUCUAAUUUAAUUAUAUACAUAAUACGUAAAUGAAUACAAAUAAAUAUAAUUUAUAAAAAAAAUUAUAUAUAACAUUCAUCCCGCAAAAUUGUGCGGAUCUUAACACAAGUAAUAAAAUAUAAAGAAACAUCAUUUAAUUGAUCAGUAAUCUGUAAACCAGCAUUUAUUUUGAUUCUUUAUAAAACAAUUGAAAUAUUUAUAAAGAAUUGUAAUAAUGCAUUGAACGAUUAAUCCGUCACCACUAUACAUCUUACGAAUCCAUUAAUUUUAUUGGAUUUCUCUGUAAUGAUAGUCGUCACCUUUCGAAAUCGAUCCUGACCGUCCAAGAUCAAAAUCAGUAUUAUCAAGUUUGAUGAGCCUUCCUUUUAAGAAGAUGAACAAGAACGUUGUCAAAAAAAAAAAAAAGAAGAUGAACAAGAAAGAUGUUUGAUCUCUUUAUACAUACCGAAAGAAACAAUUAUUCGGUUGUUCGUUUUUGUACCCAGCCACUAGCCAUCAAGGAACAUUAGGAAUGAUUGGAAAAAAAAUGAAUAGGAAUAAAAUUUUGGGAACGACGAGGAACAAAGGUUCCUUGUCAAAAUUAACAAGGAACAAAUCAAUACUAUUAAAAGGGAAUGAGUUUUAAUAAAUCUACUUAAAAAAGUUGUUUGGACGAUUUCAUUAAUUAAUAAUAUUUUGGUCUUACUUUAAAUUUCAACUAACAAUUAGUUACCUUAUAUUUAUCUAACAAUCAUUCAGUCAAUAUUUUUAUGUAUUAGACCCUUAUCUUUUUGUUCACUAUUUGAUUAUACCACAUAUAUACUUUAUUUAUUAGACCGCAUCAUUUGGUACACGAAAAUAUUAUACCACAUGAUACACUUCAUUUUAUUAAAACACACUUCUUAUCAAUACAUCACUUAUUAAUCCCAACCACGGGUUGUAGCAAUAUUAAAGGUUUAACGUUCAAAUAUGGGUAAUUCAUUACAACAUUAAAUGAAACUAACAUGUAUUGUAAGUCAAUUUCUAUAAUCCUACUAUAUAAAAGGAGCUAUUUUUAAAGCUUCUAAGGAGUGUCACAUAGGAUGAAAUAUUCCAGACCAAUCGUUUUGCCAUGUCGGUUUUUAGCUUAUGGGCCUCAAAUAAUCUAAACCCAUCAAGAUAACCAAUCAAUUUGCAAAGGUUUUUGGCUUGGCUACAUCUGAUUAAAUUUCGAACCAAUAAAAAUAGCCAGCUGUCUAGACUAACCUAAAACAUCUUCAUUUCUUCAAUUUUCGUUGCCGAAACCAAGCUCUCAACCUCUCGCCUUUUCCCAUUCUUUUCCCAUCUUCGUCACUUUUCAGAUUCUCAUUUCAGUUGUAACUUUAGCUAUAACUACAUUCCUCACAUCAAAGACAGAUUUUUCACGAAUCACUUCAACUUCCCCUCUCAAACCCUAUAUAUAUGCCGAUGUAGUCAUCCUAAACCCUGUCAAAUCUUAAGCAACAAUGGCUUCCUCUCAAGUAUCUUUCUUAUUUCUUUCCCGGAUCUUCAGAAAGAUCUCGACAUCACCAAUUUGAGAGGAAUAUGACGCACCCAUAAGUUUCCUUGGAUUCUAUAUGCUUCAUUAUUUGUUUUUAACUUCUAUUCCUAGAUUUAAAGCCUCAAGAUUUCAAUCGUUGGUAAGUCUUAGUGAAAGUUUUGUCUUGCUUUUACUACAGUUGGUAAUAUGGCUGAGAUCGAGACUUAGCUUAGGUGUGAAGCAAGAGGAUUAUUGCGUCUUACAAUAUAACAACUUAUGUUUUGCCGGUUUUUAUAAAAGAGAUAACUUAAGUGGUAGAGGGUAGACAGAUGAGCAGAAAAGAAAAGUAAAUAAAAAAAAUCAUUGCUAUGUAUAACAAAACCAUUUGUUCAGUGAAUCAACUUAAGAGUUUUUUUUUGAUUGUAUACUCCUGGUCAGUUCCUUAAAAUAGUUGUAUUAUAAAUGUAUAACUGUAGUUUUAGUGCAAGCAAUUUGUAUUAUUCCUACACUUCUAUUUUUGUUUAUGUUUGUGACUGUGUUUCAAAAAGAAAAAAACAAUUAUGUUUGUGACUAUCGUAAGUUAUCAGCUGCUUUAAAACUCACACAAAGAAAACAGAUACAAAGAAAAUUGGAGACAGUGGUUUAAUCUAAAUUCGCUGGUCAACUUUCAUACAUCUCUCAUAAGACAAUGACAAAGUUGCAAAUUUUUGACCAUUAUAGAAUCCAAAAUCGCAAAGUAAAAUCAUAUUGAUAACAUAAGCCAAACAUAUAUAAAAGUGAAAAUAAAAUAAAAUUCAUAUACGUUUUAUGGUUACUAAUUUUAUAAACAAUAUAAAAAUUUUAUUUUGUUUUAAAACCAAUUACUUCAACCCUACCAUAUAUGUUAUUAGUAGGUUCAGAAGAGCAACAUUAGUCAAAUUAGACCACUUAGAUCAAAUAUGAAAACACUAGAAAAUACAUAAGACCAACCAUUCAACCAGAUAUAACAAUAUAUAUAUAGGAAAACACAUUCUGUCUUUUAUGCUCUAUUAUUUUACUCUUUAGACAUUUCCCAGUUUAUUAGUUUUAAAUUAUGUAGAACUAUUAAAAAUACAUGUAAAAUAUGAUUGAAUAAAAUUUAUAAAAUCCAAUCCGCACGUAGUGCGGACACAGAACCUAGUUUUAUUAAAAGAGAAACUGGUUUUUGCUCAUUAACAAUAAUAUAGGCAUUGGAAACAAUAGAAAAUAUAUUGGAAACGUUUCACUCAAAUAAAUACUGAAAUUUUGGUUGUUAAAAUCAAUGCUGAUAUUGCCUAGAUUGUAACAAUCAGUUUGAAAAACAAAAGAGAAUAUAUUAUCGAUAUGCUAAUUAUAUUCAUUUACUUGAUUAACACUUUUAUUGAUUUCGAAUUCAUUUUAAAGAAAGUCGAUUGUUAGAAUAUAUUUUCAGAAUAUAUUGUAUUUUAUUGGGAAUAUAUUAUAUAUAAAUUUUGUAAAUAAAUUACUGAAACGAUUCUUUUUUUAUUUAGAAUUUUAAUCCACAUAGUAUUGGUUUCAAAGAUAUAGAAUCUGCUUGGCUAUUUAUGAAAUUUAUUUUAAUGUUGGUUUCGUUUUUUCAGUUUGGUAUGAUUUAUUCUCCAAUAAAUGUUAUCAGAUCAAUGCUUUAUCUUAUUUAGAAAUUCAUUAAAAUUUUAUUUAAUUUCAAAAACAAACCCGCGCUUUUAAGCGUGGGUCAAAAUCUAGUUUGUAUUAUAAUUCUCUACAAAAAAGAGAAUAAGAAGGAAUGAAGUGGAAAAAAUAUUCCUUACGGAUAGUAUCAUUUUUGAGGAACAUUAAGGAAUGCAGUGUUCCUCUUCGUUCCCUUGGUUACCAUUCAAACCCUUAGAUGUUCAUUUGAAUCAACAUUUACAUUCUGUAUCUAAAUGCAAAAAUCUAAAAUAUUUAAAGUAUCUAGAUAUUUAAGAUGUAAAAUGUGGAUAUAAUAUUUGCAUAUAAAAAUCAAAAGACCUAAUUACCUUUCAGUAUAAAUAUAAAAUCAAUUUUUUCUGCCAAAACCGUAAAAUGAGUUUUUUCGUCAAAAUUGAAAUCAUGUUUUUCGUCAAAAAGGUAAAAUUAAGUUUUCCGCCAAAAUUGUAAAAUUGAUUUUUCACACCAAACGGAAAAUUUAGUUUUUUUUGCCAACCCACAAAAUCACAUCUUUUCUCGCCAAAAUCACAAAAUUUCGCUUACCCGCUAAAACUGCAAAAUUAAAAAUUUUGCGUCAAAAUCACAUUUUUUAGCAAUACUGCAAAAUUGAAGUUUUUGCCAAAAUCGUAAAAUUAAAUUUGCCCACUAAAACUUCAAAAUCAUUUUUUUCCCUCCAAAAACCAGAAAAUUGAGUUUUUCUACCAAAAAUGCAAAAUUGGAUUUUCCCGUCAAAACUGCAAAAUAGUUUUUUCACCACAACCGCAAAAGUACGUUUUCUGUCAUAUUAGAAUCGAGUUUUUCCAUAAAACUGUAAAAUUAAGUUUCCUCACCAAAACCUUCGAAUCACGUUUUCAGCAAAUCACAAUAUUGUGUUCUUCCGUCAAAACCGUAAAAACAUUUUUUGCAAAACCACAAAAUUGAUUUUUCCGCCGAAACCUAAAAAAAAAUGCCAUCAAAAAUUCAAAUUAGGUUUUUGUUAAAAUAUGAAAAAAUCAAAUCAUGUCUAUUUAUUAUUUUAAAAUUAAUUUAUUAUUAAUAAUACUAUGUAAGGAACCCGUGCGAUAUCGCAUGGAAACUAAUUUUACAAAAAUAAGUUCACCAUAUUUUAUAAAAUAAUGUUUUUUAGAAAAACAUUAUACAAUUGUAUUCGAAAAAAUACAUGUGUUACAAAUUUAUCUGGCAUGCAACUAUAUUUUUUUAUUGAUAAUACGAUAAUUUUUUUAUAUAUGUUUGGUUAUAAUAAAAUUAUAAAUAUGUCAGUAUCAAAUAAGAUAUAUGUCUAAUUAUCCGCUUAACUAAGUUAUUUAAAAAUUUCAAAAAUUUAAAACUACUUAAAAAGCAAAGACAUUCCAUGUGGUCAUUUACUAAAUUAAUAAGGUAAAUUAUAACAACAAGACAAAUAUGAUUGGUUUGAAACCAUGUAAGACAUGUGUUAUCGGAAACAUGAUUAUAUUAGGCCUGGGCAUUCGGGGUCCCAAUCGGGUUUCGGUUUUAUCCAAUCGUGUUUCGGUUUUUCGGGUUCAUCAGAAUCAGGCCCAUUCGGAUUAUAUGAAAGUUCGGUUCGGGACCGGUUCGGGUUCUAUCGGGUUCGGAUCGGGGUUAGUGAAUCUUCAAAGAACCGGUACAACCCAAUAUACUUUCGGGUUCGGGUCCCAAUCGGUUUUUCGGUUUAAAAGUACCUGAUUUUUACCUAUUUUAUAACCAAAACAUGAGUAAAAUCGGUUCUUCAGUUUUAAAAUAUCUGUUUUGUACCUAUUUUGUAUGAUAAAUUUAAGAUAUCUUAUCUUUAAACAUAUUCUUUUUUAGCAUAUAACUCACACAUUCUUUUUAAAAUAUUAUUAUUGGUAUCUUCUGUAAAAGAGAGUCUUUCCAAAAAAAAAUGACCUUGUUAGAAAGUUAAAAUAUGUGUUUUCGUUUUAAAAGGUAACAUCACAAAAGAUUAUGCUAACGAACCAACGCUAUUCUAUAUGAUAGACUUUUUGUAUUUUCUAUGAAAAAAUUGUGAUCUUCAAGAAACUUAAUUGGUUUUAUUGAAUUAGUAUUGAUUAAAAAUUAUUGAAAAUUGAAAAUUACAGAAAAUGAUAUAUUUAUUAUGGUGAUUUAAUGUGUUUUUUUAAAUAUGUGUAAAAACACUAAAAAGUUUAUCUUUGUGAAACAGAGGGAUUAAAUGUUUUGUCUCGAAGUAAACAGUAACUAUAACAACGUUUGGAUGCAACAUCCAUAUAUUAUUAAUACAACUUAGUACUUCCUCCGUUUUACAAAGAUAGAUUUUUUGGUGUUUUCACACAUAUUAAGAAAACACAUUAAAUUACUAUAAUAAAUGUAUCAUUUUCUGUAGUUUUUAAUUUUCAAUAAUUUUUAACCAAUAGUAAUUCAUUAAAGUCAAUUAAUUUUCUUGAAGAUUAUAAUUUUUUUCAUAGAAAAUACAAAAAGUCUAUCUUUGUGAAAUAAUUUUUUUUUUCUAAAAUACUUAACUUAAUGAAACGGAGAGAGUAUUCAACUUAACAUCUGAAUAUAAUAUCUGAAUAUUGCAUUAAAUACAAAAAGAACAUGGUCUUAGUGAAUUUAAUGAAUUUAAUGCAUCUGCAAUGGAUAUUGUAGCAAAUGAUUUCAACAUUAAAAUUUCAACUAUUUCCGUGUAAGAUAUCUAUAAGCAUUUUGUAAUUUCCUUUCAAAACAAAUGUCUUUACAAACUUGUUGUAAUGCAAUAAGCAGAACAUUGGCUUAUGCUUCAAGAGGUGAAGUUGUUGCUCCAGGUUGAAUCCGGUCGUUUGUUCUUCUACGUCGUCAAGAGUCCAAUACCGUUUCAGCAACAUUUCUAACAAAUUAAAAAGGAAAAAGUCAACAAAUUGGGUUUUGUAAAUAUUGAGAUUACUAGUAUAAAAAUUCAAUUAGUUUGGUGAUGACACGAAAACGCGUACGGUUACAUAUCACAUCUUAUUCAACGUGAUUGAACAUAAGUUGAAUAACAACAGUUUUAUUGGCUUAAUUAACAUAACAGUUAACUCUAGUCGACCAAAGAUGUCAUCUUUUCACAGCAUUCUUGUGUACUGAAUUGUACGGAACUAACCUUUUUUUUAAGGGAACUAACUUAAUUAGUAGUAUUAAUUUAUAUCAAGUUAUUCAAUAAAAAAAUUAUUCAAAGUACAUUUUAUUUUUAUAAUCAAGUGAUUGGUGGAUUCACUUUUUGUCAAUUUUUAUCUGGUACGCAACCAACACUGCGGACCUAUUUACCAGAUAACUGUAUUUAUUUAUUAUACAAGAUGCAGAUGUGUAUUUUCUGCGGAUUAUUUCUAAAAAAUAACAUAGAUCUUUUAUAUCUGAUGUGCUAUGUUUUUAUUGAUUUUACUUUUAACAGUACAUGGCAUAUGGUUUCAUUUUUUGUUCUUUUCAAGAUUUAAAUAAGGACCAGUUAAUAGAGAGAUAAAACAGAAAUGGUUAAUCAUCUUUUUCUUAAUUCUUACAGCAUUGAACUGGUCAACAAUUUGUAUAUAUAGUGUUCGCAUGCUUAACGAAACAUAGGCUCAGGUGACUGCGGUUUGAGCGGUACGGGACAAGCAGUUCAACUGCGGUGCGGUUUUAACAGUUAUAAAAACGUAUAGAUAUAUAGUAAAUGUAGAGAUUUUUGUUACUGUUAACUAUGGUGCGGGGCGGGACGGUUGUAAACAUUCGAAGCCAUAAUAUAUUUAUACACAUAGAAAUAAAUUUAAAUACUCCGUGUGUUUCAAAUUGAUAAAUGUUUUAGUUUUAUACACAGAUUAUAAAACAUACUCUUUUUGUUUCUAAAUAAUGCAUGUUUAGAUUUUUCACAGAUAUUAAAAAAUUAAUAUUUAACUAUUCAUACAUUAAUUUAAAAAAUUACAACAAUUUCCCAUAAAUUUAAACCAAUAGAAACUCAAUAAAUCCAAAAUUAUCAAUUAAUAUUUUUUGAAGUUUACAAUUCAUUAUUAAAAAUACAUAGAAAAUCUAAAACAUUGAUUUUUUAGAAACAAGUAAAAAGUGUUACAACAUGCAUUAUUUAGAAACAGAUGGAGUAUUAAAUUUCAGUAUUAAAUACAUAUUUUUGUGAUUCUCUAUUUUCCAUAAUUUAAACCAAUUAGAAUUUAGUAAAUGCGAUUAGUUUUAUUAAAUUUCACAAUUAGCCAUUAUUAGAUAAAAUGCAUUGAGAAUAUAAAAAUAUAUCACUUUGAAAUAUUUUUUUUUCUAAAAACAUGUAUCUUUAUCUAUGUUCAAAAUUAGCCCGAGUUGCCGAGUUUACGGUCUUAUAAUCGCUAAUCGGAAGGUGAUUGUGCCGACUAAGGGAUGAUCGGAGUGGCUAAGCGGCAGACCAAUUCUUUGCCGAGUUAACCGUAGAACUAUAGAAAUCAGUGCCUAAAAUCUCCAAUCGCAUUUGUUCGAUAUGAUAGUUCUGUAAAGUUUUGGUGUAGAUAAUUUAUUUGCAGAGCAACGUGGAUGAUUCUUGUUAUAAACGUCUAGAAAAAGCUAAAAAAACCGAAGACAAUCAUGUGUUAUGGAAAGUACGGCGAUUAGGUUGCAGAGAAAGCUACAUACAGUACAACAUGUAUAAAUUAAUAAUGUUCGGAUUUUAAAAUUUUAUUAAUUUAUAGAGAUUAAUUUAUAAAUUUUUUUCUUAUUUAGAUUUUUUAUUUUAAGAUAUAUUUAUUCUAAGAUAAAAAAAUAUUUGAUUUUAGUCUAUAGAAAUUAAUUGUUAUUUUUUGAAAUUUGACACUUAUAUUACUUUUAUUAUAUUAUUUGGUAUAUAUAAUAUAUAUUACAUAGAACUUAAAUGUGAUUUUAGAUAUAAUAUUACUAAAUCUCAUAAAAAAAUAUAUUAAGUGUUAAAAAAAUAUAAAGAUAAUUCUAUUGUGAAUAUAAAACAAAUAAUAUAAUAAUAGGUUCUUACAUAUAUAAAAUAUGUAUAAAUAAAAAUUAUUAAUUUAUAAUUUUAAUGGGACCAUAUAUUUACAUAAAAUUUUUAAAAAAAUAUUAUCUUAUUAUUUUCUCGAUUUAUGUCAAAUUUUGAACCGGUUUAAAUUGGAACAGGUGAAAUUUACUAAUUUAUAGAGAUUAUUAAUUUACCGAGUAUUAAUUUAUAAAGGUUUUACUUUAUUUGCGUGAAACGAUGAAGCUAGAGUAGUAAUUUCUUGUUUAACUGAUAAAAUCAAAUAAAAUGCAAAAAUAGCAUAUACUGUACCACACAUCGAACCAGGAUCGUGACCAGAUGAUUAAUACUAUCUAACCGUUGGACCAAGUUAAUAUAUUGAAUUCAAUACCGAAGCUAUCAAGAUAUAUUAUAUAAACGAUAUAAAAACUCUAAAACUAGGCUUCGAUUAAUUCCGCAUAAUCUUCGAUUUUCAUUAAGCCCGAGAUUACCGCAUGACUAGUGUCUAGCGUAGUUCCGAACAGGGAUCUUUAUGAAACGGAAAACGUAGAUUUGUUCAUCACAGUAGACGUAAACGUACAAUACAUAUAAUUCAUUAGUGCAAGUGGAACCCUACGAUGUCACGAAUAUAAUCGUAAGUAGCUUGUGGAAAUCAACUUUGUUUUUUUAAAUAUGGCAAUCAUAUACGUAGUACCAUAUUUAUUAAAUAUUUGCUUAUCAUAACUAAAUAUUAUCAUCAGUCAUCACAUAAGUAUAUAUUAUUGUUAAUGUAUACGAUAUUUAGUUUUUAUCAAUCUUCUGAAACCUGGUAAACCUGGUCUAUGCAGCGCCAAGAUAUCUGUCUAAAUGGCAAAUCGAUUAUACCCAAAACAGUUUUCUUAAAAUAUGAUUUAUUUUUGUAUAUCGGAUUAUAAUUUUUUUAAACCGAUUAAAAUAUGUCUUAAUCUAUCUAAAUAUAUUUAAAUCUACCAUUUCAAAUAAUAGUAAUAGCGUAAAUCCAAAAUAUUUUAUACUUUCUUGUUUUGUUUGUCUAAUUUUAUAAUUUAUCGAAAAUAAUUUAUAAUUACACCCAAAAUAUCUAAUAUAAAUAUAACAUAUAUACAAUGAAGCCUCUAUAAAUUAAUAAUGUUUUGACUACACCAAAACUAUAAUUUUUUUAUUAAUUUAUAGAGAUAUUAAUUUAUCGAUAUACUAACUAAACCAAAAACUCAAUUUGGGACUAUAAAAUUAUAUUAUUUUAUAGAGAUUUUUAGUGUAUAUUAAUUUAUAGAGUAUUAAUUUAAAGAGGUUAUACUGUAUAUAUAUAAAUAAAUCGAUAAUCCAUUAAACUCCCAAAUAAUAUGCUUAGUCAUUGAUACUAUAUAAAACCCUUAGUUACGACUUAAUGAUUUCUUAAACAUGGGGUUGUCACACAAACAACAUUCAUAGAUCAAAAUUGAUAAAUUUCUUUGAGUCAAUUAGGUAGAUACCUGAAAACAAUUGGGAAUUUAGCAAACUACCAAAACAAAAAAACAUUGAGGUGUACAGUAUACCUAUAGGAGUUUAAAUGACAUUUCUAACCUUCAGUUUUAUUUGUCUUUUUAACAUUUCUCUCUCUCUGCUCCACCAGCAAACCAUUACUCCUCUCUCUCUUCCGUGACUACGUCUUCCAUUGCUGCAACUCCUCAUUCCUUUAUUCAAUCCUUUUCUUUCGCUCAAAGUUCCAGCCUUCAUUUGAAACCCAACACAAAGUUCCUCGAUUUCGACAGGAGUCACCGUGAAGCAGUACGUGACAAGACUCGUUCUUGUUUAUCGGAAGGACGGAAACGCACCGGAAGACGGAAAUGCGCCGGAGGACGGAGACGCGUCGGAGAGGGAAGAGAGUUGUGCGAGGAGCUCUGGGUGGCGGGAGUCGAAGCCAUGGCGGAGCUGGGCGACGAGGAUCGGUGGAUAGCUUGGCGGUGGAGGCGGGGGAUCCGGAGGCGAGUGCGGCGGAGGAGAAGAUAGGAGACAGAGGAGCGGAGGGAGAAGACAGAGAUCUCCGUGUCAGAGAGGGAAGAGAGCUGGGAGAGGAGAUCGGGGUGGCGGGAGACGGCGUCGUGGCGGAGCUGGGCGUCGUGGAGGCGGAUCCCUUGGUGGAGACUCUCGGCGGUGGAGGCGGGAAUCCGGAGGCGAGUGCAGCGGAGGAGAAGAAGGCGGAGGAGAAGGAAGGGAGAGGAAUGGAGAGACGGUGGGUUCGUUUGCGAAAAUCCAGAGGUGAUUGAAGAAGAUGAUGGUUUUAGAAAUAGGGGUAUUAGAGUCAUUAAUUUUUAAGAAAAGUAUGUAACAGUGUUCAAUGGUAGAUUGCUAAUUUCGCAAUAUUGUUUGUGUAUACAAUGCAAAUUCUCUUUUUUUUUUUUUUUAAUACAAGUGUAAGAUUUAUUUUCAUGUGGUAUGCACUGUUAUAAAUCUGAACCUAUUCCGAUAUUUUUGAAUCGUUGAUAUCAUAUCAAGUUAUUUAUCUGACAAUAACACGCGUCAGUGGUCGGGUGGCGCAAGGCGUUCCGUGAAUCUCUAAAAUACUCGAAUUCGAACCCGCUACUAAUCUAGAAAAGCACGGCGCGUUGCCAUCAGAACUUUCACAUUCUCUCUCUAGACAAAAGGUCACCUAUUUUUUUUUUUAAUCUGACAAAAAUGAUAUAGAUAUUUAUACUAUUAAAAAUAUCUUUAAUAUAACUUAAAUAUUGAAAAAUGGAUUCGGAUUUUUAUAAGAGGUUAAACCACAUAACAAAAAUCUUAUACUUAACUCUAAAUAUCGAAGAACAUAUAUUAAUGUCGAUAUAUUGUGUGUGACAACUGAGGACAACUCCAUAUAUAUUAAGGGUCUAAUUUAUAUAUGAACAUGGACUAUCCAUGAUGGACACAUAGGUGCUCUGUAUGCUUUUUUUUUUUUUCCACACGUAUGCUUAUCUCACACGUUAAAAGAAAAAUUCAAAGAAAUCGGUUGUAUUUGUAUUCUUGUGAGAUCAUCAAUGGUGAACCAAAAUAAAGUGAGAUCAUCAAUAUCAUUUUAUUAUAUCAUAUGUUGUCCUGGUUUCACAUACCAUGUCGACAUACAAAAUAGUAAUUCAUAGUGUGGAUCUAAUCAAAUCACCAAGUAGUAAUAUAUAGUGUAUAUCGACGGAUCAACCGAAUUUAUACAAAAACCUCCCAGAUUUAUACGACUGGUCAAAACUGAUGACAACCAUUAUUUUACUAUUAAAGUUUUGGUUUAUCGCUAGUGUGAAUAAAUUGAUAAUGCUUUGACGUAGCAUGCAAAAUCAUUUAUUUUACUUGCUGAUAUGUAUGGACUUUUAAUAACGUCAAUCAAUAUAAACUAAUUGGAACCCCAUUAUGGUGGACUAGUAGUUUCUAUUAGGGGAGAAGUUGUGAUGUUGGUCUAGGCCAGGGAUCGAUUCUCUUUUAGUACAAAAUUAUUAAUUUCACAUGUGGUCACACAGAUAUGGGCCUAUGUUUAUGGUCCAUUUGAAUACCGAAAGAUGAUCUAUCCGUAGAUUGCAUCUCCCAUCCGAAAAUUAAGUCUGUGUCUUUAAUAUACUCGAAUUUAAUCCUUUUAACUUACAAAAAAAAUAAACUAAUUGGCCAGGAGAAAUAGGAACGCUUUCUGCAUGUGUCGUACUCUUAUCGUAUCUAAUAAACUACUUAUUUCACAUUCUAAAAAUAGUGCUCUCUCUGAUUUAAAUUAUACAUAAUAAAAUCACUUUUUAAAUACCAUAUAGAGUAUUAGUAUUUUAAACCAUUUUAUCUGUUUUAACUAUAUAAGCAGUAUUAAAACUGCAAAAUCUUCUUGAUCGAUAUUAUAUCAUUUUAUUUGUUUGAUCUGUAUUUAUUCUAUUUAGGUCGUUUAUUUCGCUUACUGCCUUGUCCAUUUUUUUUUUGAAGCACAAGAAAGGGUAAACUAUGCACAAGAUUAUUUUACUCCCACUAGUUUAUGUUGUCUUCCAAUAUUUAUUUUUUUUUUGGUAAAAAAAAAGGUGUUUUCACCUCUUUGCCGGAAACCCAAGCAAUGUAAAUAGUCUCUCCCAGCGCGAAUCGAACCCGGGUGGCAGAAAUUACAGCCGCAACCCCUUUACCACCAAAGCUGACUCGUUCCAAUAUUUAUUUUCUUAAAUGACAACAAAAAUAACACAUAAAUGCUUUCUUUGGAUAUUUAUUCUUACAAGUAAAAUAAAAUACUUUUUUGACAAAAGUAAAAUAAAAUACUUUUGGGCUAUAUAAAUCGUUUUGGUUGAUUUUGUUGUCUCUAAAUGUUUUUUAGCUUAUUGUCUCUAAAUGUUAAGUGAUUUAAAUUAUAUGUAGAUAUUGCGCUGAAACGCACCUAGUAUUGUGUGUAUAUAUAUAUAUUGUAUUUUUCGAUAUGUAUAAUACAUAUCCUCCCGUCAAGUGGUGCAAUAAGGGAUGAAAAUUUCUUCCCAGUUGCACGAACAAGCUGAUUAAAAUAUUCCUUUUUGUUAGUGGUUUUUUUCGCAAUAUGCUUUGUAUUUAUUAUAUUGUUGACUUUUGAGUUGUUUGCCUUUUCUUAUUGCCUUUUAUGGGACUCCAUUCACCCGUCCCAACUUCCAUUCUUCCUCGUCUAGAAAAGAAAGGCUAUUAGCAUUUAUCAAUUUCAUCAAGGGCAGACAAAACUUAAGAGCUUACUACAAAAUUCUCCACAGAUAAACUGAAUUUAUUAACGAAAUUGAAGCUAAUAAUUGUAAGUUUGAAAUUAUUAAAAUAACCAAACCGCUUUUGAGAAAUAACAUAUUUUUGUCUAUUACAUAGCAUUCUUUUGCGUAUACGUUCAGAGUUAAAUAUGUAAAUAUAGAGGAAAACAAAAAAAUCAUAAUUACAAAUUUACGUUUGAAAAAAGAACAAGUAAAAGAAGAAGAAGAUAUUAUUGGAGAAUCUUUCUUUAGUCUUAGUUGUAAGAUUUUUGUGCUACUGGCUUAAAGGUAACCCUAUUCUAUGAUAGAGGCGUGGCUUAUUGGACCAAAGUCACCAAACUAUAUAUUACCACAAAUCUUAACAUAAAGCGAUAAUACCCUCUCAAAUUCCUUUUAUUUUAAAAAUAUUUUAUUAAAUGAGGCUUUCUACAUAUAGAACAUACUUGGAGUAUAUAUUUAGUUAUAUCCAGUGUUUGUUACGUGAAUGCAAGGCAAGCUAGACUUACGUACGUACCACAUUAAACACACGCAUAAUUUACAAGUAUGAAACUAGUGACACAGCCUUUAUAUAUAAAUAAGGGGCUAGUGUACGUCAUACAUCUGCAUGUACAAAUGCCGCUUUCAAAAUCUAAUUAAGUAAAAGAACGAUAUUUAAAUUCUCUAUAAGUCAUAUAUAGCUUCAGUUCAGAAGACAUAUUGCCAAUAUAUAUAUAUAUAUAGAUAUAUAAAUAUUGUCAAUAUCUGAUGAUAAAAUAGCAGAAAUAUAGAAUACUCUUAGUUUUGGUGUAUGAUCCAAAAUUGAGAUAUUUUGUCGGAGAUGGAUAUUUGACAAGUUAAAGCAAAUGUAUCAAAUUCUAAGUUUAGGUACGAAUUGACUUUUUCAAAAGUCUACUAAAUAAAUUUUAAAAGUUAAAUGAUUACAGACGGGUUUACAUAGAAAACCAAAAAAAAAAAAGAACCCUAAACCACAAACAAUCCUUUUUCAUUCUUUAUAUAAACUGAUGUUCCCCAAAAGGCUUUUCCUCGCCAUAUACCUGUGAAAGAAAAAAAAAAGAGAUAAAAGGGAAACAAUAUUCGAGAGAGAGAUAUGGGUGAGGUGACUUAUAUGGACGAAGGAGAUUUAGAAGCAAUAGUCAGAGGUUACUUAGGCUCCGGAGACGCCUUUUCUGGGGAAAGCUCCGGUGGGUUUUCACCUCCGUUUUGCCUUCCGAUUGAGACGGCUAGUUUCUAUGAACCGGAGAUGGAAACAACCGGUUUAGACGAACUUGGUGAACUCUACAAACCUUUUUACCCUUUCGCCUCACAAACAAUCCUCACAAGCUCCGUCUCUGUCCCCGGAGAUUCAAGAAGUUUCCGAGAUGAUAAAAAACAACGAACACAUGGUUGUCUUCAAUCUAACGGAUCAAGAGUUGAUCAUAUCCGAAUCCCAGUAUCCAAAUCGAAGAAGAGGUCAGUUAUACUUGAAAAUCUACUUUCAAAUGCAUAAAAAAAAAAAACUUGAAUAUUAAUAAAUGUUUUGAACAAAAAAAAAGAAUAUUCAUAUAAAAAAAAACUGAUUUUCAGCUGUCUGGGUUACUAUUAUGAACCAAUUCUUGAAAAUAAUUUUAUUAGAAUUUUAUACAUAUUAAGAAAGCAGUUUAUGUUUGAUCAUAAAUGUAUAAACUUUCUGAACUAAACAAUUUCCUACGACUUUCAAGCAAUAGAAAUUUAAAAAUAUAAUUAUUGUCAAUAAAUAUUUCGAUAUAUAAAAUUUGUUAUGCAAAUUAAUAAUAUAUGCAUAGAAAACUGAGAAUGUAUAAGAAAAAAACAUAAAAUGCUAGAAAAUUCAUCUUUACAAAUGUAGGGUAUAUACUAUAUAUAGUUAUUAUUAUCACCAACUUGUUUUUCAUAAUUAUAAUUAUCAUGAAUAUGCAUGCUCCUUGUUGGAUUAAAUAAUUUAUGAUUCGAAUUUGAACAGCAAGAAGAAUCAACUAAAGAGAGUUGUUGAGCAAGUGAAGGAAGAAAAUCUGUUGUCGGAUGCAUGGGCAUGGCGUAAAUACGGGCAGAAACCCAUCAAAGGAUCUCCAUACCCAAGGUCUUAAACCAUUUCCGGUUUAACAUAAUCCUAUCCUUACUUUUAACCAAAAAACCGGUUUGACCUACUUAACCUCUUUUGUUUCUUCAGGAGUUAUUACAGGUGCAGCAGCUCAAAGGGGUGUUUGGCAAGAAAACAAGUCGAAAGAAAUCCUCAGAACCCGGAAAAGUUCACCAUAACGUAUACAAAUGAACACAACCAUGAGUUACCAACCCGGAGAAACUCAUUAGCCGGUUCGACUCGAGCCAAAUCUUCUCAAACCAAACCGGCCGUAACCAAAAAGUCCGUAAAGCAAGUGGUUUCUUCUCCCACAAGUAACCCCAUGAUCACAUCCACUGAUGAAUCUUCUGUUGCGGUUCAAGAUAUGAGGGUUGCAGAAACGAGUACCUACCAAAUAACCGUAGAAACCAAGGGCACGAGUAACACUUUACCAUCGGAUUUGUUGUCUGGGACGGGAACUUUUCCGACUUGUACCUGUGACUUUGAUGAACUACUGAAUAGCCAUGAGUUCCUCAAUGGGUACUUAUGGAAUUACUAAAGAACAGUAGGUGUAUGUAUAUUCAAACUUAUAUUAUAGUUGCAUUGCGGGCAUUGAGAAAAAUGUAUAUCUAGGAGAUUUGAGUGUCGUAGUUUUCGUCUUGUUUCCAGCUUGACCUGAAAAUGUAACCAAAUAUAGUUCAUUUAAAUUGUCAUACUAAUGCUAAGACAAAACCCCAUUUUACAUUCGAUUACAUAUAUAUAUUUCAACGUUUUCCACUGCACUAAGAAAAGACUACGCCUAAAAUUGUUAGACACUGUGUGAAAAUGGAACCGUCUUCAGGCCGGUCUAGAUGAUUAAUUAGGCAUCCUAAAAUAUACUGUAUAUUUUACAUUAUAGAGACACCAAUAUACAACUCACCCGCCCACCCAGCCGCAUUUAGUAUUUUAAUGAAUGUGAAAAUUAAUUUUAACUUUUAAAUCAAAUUAUUGACAAAUAAUUAAUAUUCAAAUAAAUGGCCAGACAGUUGCACAAAUCAACACCAUGUUUCCAUCCAAUGUCCAAACUGAACGUAUUUUUAGGCUCUAACGAUUGAUAUGGAUACAUAUGUUUUGUAAGGCAAACAAAGAGGUAACAAAAUUUGAAUUGGAGAAAUUAAAAGAAUCUUUACUCGAAAGUCUACUGUCAUUAGCUUUUAUUUACAGAUGGGAUAAGAAACGAGCCAGUCUUAGAUUUCAAAACUUAAGAGCUUACUACAAAAUUCUCCACAGAUAAACUGAAUUUAUUAACGAAAUUGAAGCUAAUAAUUGUAAGUUUGAAAUUAUUAAAAUAACCAAACCGCUUUUGAGAAAUAACAUAUUUUUGUCUAUUACAUAGCAUUCUUUUGCGUAUACGUUCAGAGUUAAAUAUGUAAAUAUAGAGGAAAACAAAAAAAUCAUAAUUACAAAUUUACGUUUGAAAAAAGAACAAGUAAAAGAAGAAGAAGAUAUUAUUGGAGAAUCUUUCUUUAGUCUUAGUUGUAAGAUUUUUGUGCUACUGGCUUAAAGGUAACCCUAUUCUAUGAUAGAGGCGUGGCUUAUUGGACCAAAGUCACCAAACUAUAUAUUACCACAAAUCUUAACAUAAAGCGAUAAUACCCUCUCAAAUUCCUUUUAUUUUAAAAAUAUUUUAUUAAAUGAGGCUUUCUACAUAUAGAACAUACUUGGAGUAUAUAUUUAGUUAUAUCCAGUGUUUGUUACGUGAAUGCAAGGCAAGCUAGACUUACGUACGUACCACAUUAAACACACGCAUAAUUUACAAGUAUGAAACUAGUGACACAGCCUUUAUAUAUAAAUAAGGGGCUAGUGUACGUCAUACAUCUGCAUGUACAAAUGCCGCUUUCAAAAUCUAAUUAAGUAAAAGAACGAUAUUUAAAUUCUCUAUAAGUCAUAUAUAGCUUCAGUUCAGAAGACAUAUUGCCAAUAUAUAUAUAUAUAUAGAUAUAUAAAUAUUGUCAAUAUCUGAUGAUAAAAUAGCAGAAAUAUAGAAUACUCUUAGUUUUGGUGUAUGAUCCAAAAUUGAGAUAUUUUGUCGGAGAUGGAUAUUUGACAAGUUAAAGCAAAUGUAUCAAAUUCUAAGUUUAGGUACGAAUUGACUUUUUCAAAAGUCUACUAAAUAAAUUUUAAAAGUUAAAUGAUUACAGACGGGUUUACAUAGAAAACCAAAAAAAAAAAAGAACCCUAAACCACAAACAAUCCUUUUUCAUUCUUUAUAUAAACUGAUGUUCCCCAAAAGGCUUUUCCUCGCCAUAUACCUGUGAAAGAAAAAAAAAAGAGAUAAAAGGGAAACAAUAUUCGAGAGAGAGAUAUGGGUGAGGUGACUUAUAUGGACGAAGGAGAUUUAGAAGCAAUAGUCAGAGGUUACUUAGGCUCCGGAGACGCCUUUUCUGGGGAAAGCUCCGGUGGGUUUUCACCUCCGUUUUGCCUUCCGAUUGAGACGGCUAGUUUCUAUGAACCGGAGAUGGAAACAACCGGUUUAGACGAACUUGGUGAACUCUACAAACCUUUUUACCCUUUCGCCUCACAAACAAUCCUCACAAGCUCCGUCUCUGUCCCCGGAGAUUCAAGAAGUUUCCGAGAUGAUAAAAAACAACGAACACAUGGUUGUCUUCAAUCUAACGGAUCAAGAGUUGAUCAUAUCCGAAUCCCAGUAUCCAAAUCGAAGAAGAGGUCAGUUAUACUUGAAAAUCUACUUUCAAAUGCAUAAAAAAAAAAAACUUGAAUAUUAAUAAAUGUUUUGAACAAAAAAAAAGAAUAUUCAUAUAAAAAAAAACUGAUUUUCAGCUGUCUGGGUUACUAUUAUGAACCAAUUCUUGAAAAUAAUUUUAUUAGAAUUUUAUACAUAUUAAGAAAGCAGUUUAUGUUUGAUCAUAAAUGUAUAAACUUUCUGAACUAAACAAUUUCCUACGACUUUCAAGCAAUAGAAAUUUAAAAAUAUAAUUAUUGUCAAUAAAUAUUUCGAUAUAUAAAAUUUGUUAUGCAAAUUAAUAAUAUAUGCAUAGAAAACUGAGAAUGUAUAAGAAAAAAACAUAAAAUGCUAGAAAAUUCAUCUUUACAAAUGUAGGGUAUAUACUAUAUAUAGUUAUUAUUAUCACCAACUUGUUUUUCAUAAUUAUAAUUAUCAUGAAUAUGCAUGCUCCUUGUUGGAUUAAAUAAUUUAUGAUUCGAAUUUGAACAGCAAGAAGAAUCAACUAAAGAGAGUUGUUGAGCAAGUGAAGGAAGAAAAUCUGUUGUCGGAUGCAUGGGCAUGGCGUAAAUACGGGCAGAAACCCAUCAAAGGAUCUCCAUACCCAAGGUCUUAAAUCAUUUCCGGUUAACAUAAUCCUAUCCUUACUUUUAACCAAAAACCGGUUUGACUUACUUAACCUCUUUUGUUUCUUCAGGAGUUAUUACAGGUGCAGCAGCUCAAAGGGGUGUUUGGCAAGAAAACAAGUCGAAAGAAAUCCUCAGAACCCGGAAAAGUUCACCAUAACGUAUACAAAUGAACACAACCAUGAGUUACCAACCCGGAGAAACUCAUUAGCCGGUUCGACUCGAGCCAAAUCUUCUCAAACCAAACCGGCCGUAACCAAAAAGUCCGUAAAGCAAGUGGUUUCUUCUCCCACAAGUAACCCCAUGAUCACAUCCACUGAUGUAUCUUCUGUUGCGGUUCAAGAUAUGCGAGUUGCAGAAACGAGUACCUACCAAAUAACCGUAGAAACCAAGGGCACGAGUAACACUUUACCAUCGGAUUUGUUGUCUGGGACGGGAACUUUUCCGACUUGUACCGGUGACUUUGAUGAACUACUGAGUAGCCAUGAGUUCCUCAAUGGGUACUUAUGGAAUUACUAAAGAACAGUAGGUGUAUGUAUAUUCAAACUUAUAUUAUAGUUGCAUUGCGGGCAUUGAGAAAAAUGUAUAUCUAGGAGAUUUGAGUGUCGUAGUUUUCGUCUUGUUUCCAGCUUGACCUGAAAAUGUAACCAAAUAUAGUUCAUUUAAAUUGUCAUACUAAUGCUAAGACAAAACCCCAUUUUACAUUCGAUUACAUAUAUAUAUUUCAACGUUUUCCACUGCACUAAGAAAAGACUACGCCUAAAAUUUUUAGACACUGUGUGAAAAUGGAACCGUCUUCAGGCCGGUCUAGAUGAUUAAUUAGGCAUCCUAAAAUAUCUAUUUUACAUUAUAGAGACACCAAUAUACAACUCACCCGCCCACCCAGCCGCAUUUAGUAUUUUAAUGAAUGUGAAAACUAAUUUUAACUUUUAAAUCAAAUUAUUGACAAAGAAUUACUAAUAUUCAAAUAAAUGGUCAGACAGUUGCACAAAUCAGCACUUGUUUCCAUCCAGUGUCCAAACUGAACGUGUUUUUAGGCUCUAACGAUUGAUAUGGAUACAUAUGUUUUGUAAGGCAAACAAAGAGGUAACAAAAUUUGGAUUCGAGAAAUUAAGAGAAUCUUUCAUGCCUUGAAACUCAAAAGUCUACUGUCAUUAGCUUUUAUUUACAGAUGGGAUAAGAAACGAGCCAGUCUUAGAUUUCUUGUAUCAUAGUAACUUGGGGAUCAUGCAUUAAACUUCCGUCAACAGAUAAUAUAUUAUUCGCAAUCUAUUCCGAAUUUAUCAAAUAGUUGCAAGUCCCAACUUCUCUGUCUAGCUAACAAUAGAUGACUCGUCUAAGCCACAAACACUUAACCUUAAAAAGAAAUUGAACUGUUGGGAAAAGGAAGAGGCCGCGCAAAUACCCUUGCUGCCACAAAUAAUGACGCAGGAUCUUCCACUUGGGAAGACCUUAAGCUAAGGGCAUCUUUAUUGGUGGGAUGAAGAGAGAGAGGGAGAGAGUCCCUUGUUUUGCUUUUUUUUUUUUUUGGUCAUUAGAGAGUAAGGGACAGCCCUUAAUUAAGGGCUUUUCCCUUCUCUUUCUUCCUCGGUUCCCAUCCCCUUCCCCUAAGGGAUGCCUUAAGGGACCUCCAAUACAGAUGCCCUAAGCACCCUUCCUUAUUGUGCAAUGGAAGUCACUGCACAGAGACGGACCCACAUGUAUUAAUGUAUUAAUGGUGGGUCAGCUGACACACCUUAAAUGAUAAAAUCCUAAUUUGUUAAAGAGAAACUGUAUAGAUUCAAUAGAUUUGUUGGCAAAAUCUCUCAGGGUGACUCCCCUAAUUCCGGAUUCGACACCCACCUCACACUCUCUUUACCAUUUUUGUAUUAGUGAUUUAAAGCCCAUUAAAUUUUUUGACCCAUGUUAAAAAAUCCUGGGUCCGCCACUGUACUAGCAUUUUCAAUGUUCGACCAUCUUCUCCUAAUAUGCUUGCAAUGUCAAUGUGGGACUGAAUGCUUAUGAUUUAUAUGGUUAUCUAUAAGGCAGCCUCGUAUUGUUAAGAAAUCUAGAAGGAGAUAAAAGGUUUUCUUGUGUAUUAAGAUGUGAAAGUUAAGCCUUAUAUACAGACUCGGUAACAUAUACGUUUGACCUAGUUACAAAACAUUUUUACCUAAUUUCAGGAUUCAAUAUCAAACUUACAAUUUAUGGGCCUAUCGCCCAAUACCCCUCCUCAAGAUGGAGUGUGCAUAUUACAAACACCCAUCUUGAAAAGAAAAAAUACAAAUUCUCUGCAUCCAAGCGCAUUGGCGAUUAUAUCUGCAAGCUGAAAAAGCACGCAUUGAGCCUAAAUUCUAAUGCGUAACUAUUUUUCUAUUUAUCAUGUAUGGCCUAUUUUGUGUUUGGUUUUACUUUGAUUUCUCUUUAUGAAUUAUUUAACGAUGAAACUUUUAGUUUAGCAACCGAUAAAACAAGCAGAUUGUCAUAUGAUGCUGCAAGUGCAAUGCGUGAUCCAUAAUAUUUUAUUUUAUUUUGGUUUAAGGAUAUUGCAACUUUAUAUAUUCUACAUCUUUAAGUGAUAUUUCAAUGAUUUUUCAUAUUUUACGGUGUUACAUUACGUGAUCUGAUUUACAUAGUUAAAGGUGAAGACGUUAUAUUACAGAAAAGAAUCUGUAUGAUCUACAAAAGAAAUUCAGUAUGGCGAUAGGUUAUUCCAACUUAUCCUCAAGAUUUUCAGUGUAUAGACGAGAGCUAAAAACACGACCAAACAGAAAAAGAUUCCGUUGUUUCUUGUAACUCACGUCUCAAAUCAUUAGGACUGUUCUUAAGUCUUGCGUUUAUAUGUGUUGAUGGUGACGCACGGCAUCAUAAGAAAAAUGUAAAGGGUAGAGGCCGUCACCGAUGGUAAGAACUACGGAUAGAAAGAAAACCGAAAAUAAGUUUGGUACAAUAUUAUAUAAUAUCACCUUGUAUAAUUGAAAAUCCAAAUAGCACGUGAUUUUUCUGUGAUAAAAUAUUUUAUAUAAAUUACCUAUUUGAUCCGAAAAAAAUUACCUAUUUUCCAUUGAUAGUUAGUUUUACAUUUUGUACUUACCGUGAUUAGAGGAAACUUUCAAACAUGUAGGGGACUGGAGAUGCAUUUAGUUCCUUUCUUUUCUUAUAUAACCACGCGAAGUAUAAACUUUGAUAAGAAAAAGUGUAAAAACUUGUACUAUAUAAUCUCACUAGUAGUAACGAGAGUAAUCAUCCAAAAACAAAAAAAACUACGUAAGGAAAUAAAAGGAAAAAAAA